This 57266-nucleotide long non-coding RNA is filed under the name Lactuca sativa (garden lettuce). Its description in RNAcentral is "long non-coding RNA (LSAT_LNC001013)". The record is from RNAcentral. Lineage: Eukaryota; Viridiplantae; Streptophyta; Magnoliopsida; Asterales; Asteraceae.
UCUUCCUUCACAAUCACUUUCAUUGCCUUGCAUUGUUUUACAGUCAGUUCUUUGAGUUGCUUGAGGCUUUCAAGUGUGGAACUUGUGAUUAUAUAUUCCAAUACUUCACAUCUUUCUAUUUCCAAUAUCGUCAGGUUGGGCAAUUGAAGCAGAGUCAUAUUUGCAGACCUUGGGAUGGUGAUUGCAGUACAAGUAUCAUCACUUCCAUCACCAACAUUCGUAGUACUAUCAACACCAUCUUUGUUUAUUUCUUUACUUUCAAAUAUCUCCACCAUUGACUUACAUUCUACUAUUAUCAACUCUUCAAGCUUAUUCAGUUGUCCCACUACAUUGGAUGGAAACACUCUUGAUAGGGCAGGACACUCCACUAUAUCAAUCUUUUUGGAGUAUUGACAUAAGAACCAAGAAGCAACACCGACUUGAGAACACUACAACAACACAUGAAAAAUCAAUGGAUCUAUUUUAAUUAACAAAGCUUAGAUGUUUGCUACACACAUACACACUACAAUUUAACAUAUCAUUUGUUUCUAAAAGUGUGGUAACAAACACAAGUGCUUCCCACAACUAAGGUAAUUAAGUAACAAUGUGGACAAUGUAAGUUGAACUACAAAAGGGCAAUAUACAGAAAAAAUGGAUAAAAGGUCUAGGAAUAAAGAGAAACCAAAUCGUGGUGUUUGGACUCCUUGAGGAAGAAGGUUUGUCAAAUGACCAAAAUACCCUCGUUAUACAUAUAUGACAAAAUAAGUAAAAACAAGAAACUAAUCAGUUGUAUGCUAUGCUUAUAUUGUUGGCAGGAGAGAACAAGUAGAUGGUGGAUGAAAGAAAAGGCACACUAAAUCAAUCAUAAAAGUGGCCUUAAUUAUAUAGGCUUAGAAGAGAUUAUGACAACCUACAAAUAGGAAACUGACACAAGAAAAAUAAAACUGCUACGUGCUAAAUAACACAGCUAAUUAGCAUUUAUUCAAAUUAAAACUUGAAAAUGAAGAGACUUUGAAGUACUUUGAUUAGCAAUUAAUCAACAUAUAUUUCUCGUGCAGAAGCAAAGUGUAUGACACUGGAAGUGGACAUGGUGGUCAUGAUAUUGGUUAGUCUCAUCUUUGAAACUAAAAAAAAAGACAAUAAAUAUGAGAUAUAAACACAUGAAAGGAUGAUAUAAAGCAUAAAAUAAACAAAUAUUUCACCUGGAUUUAUAGCUAUGAAAUUUACUUAUCUGAACUGAAGAAGGUCUAAAUGAAAGAAAUAACAACGCAUUUCCAUUUAUUCGUUUAUUAUAACAUCCUACUUUCAUUUCUUUAUAUUGCAGUAACGGAAAUCCUUUGUAUUUGAAUGAAAUUGCAAUAAAUGGGUGAGUUACUUAAAUUACAAUGCUUUAAUAGGAAAAAAUGAAAGUAAGAUGCUCUUAUAAUCAUAUCAGUGAAAGUAAAAUGCUAUUUCUAUAAUUUUAGACUUUAAUAAAUGACCCAAGACUACCAUAUAGGUACUUUGAAAAUCCACCCAACUAUAGCAUUGUACUUUCGACUUUUCUUAUCAGGCCGUUGUAGCCACAUAUAAUUGGGUAUAUUUUUUCAAAGUAUGAUGCUAUAAUGGGAAGAAAUGAAAGUAGGAUGAUGUAAUAAGAAAAUAAAGGAAAGUAUGUUGAACAGAGAAAAUGACUAAAAAUAUAGUGGUUUUUCUGUAUAUGGUUUAUGAAGAGAAAACAAAUGUCAUUGGACUAUAUAACCCAUUACCCCCUCAAUGUGAGAAAAUGAAAAUAUAAUUGUACUUCUAAAUUUAUUUAUUAUUAGGAAAUGAGUUUGAAAUUAAUAUGCUUAUAUUUCCGUACCUGCAUUGAUUACAUGCAUCAUCUUCUUCAUGUUUUAAAUAAUUUUACUAACAUGAAGGGUUAAUUUAGGACACAGUGACAAAAGGAAGAAAAAUUUAAUAUGGAGAAUGUUAGCAUCUGAUCAGCCGUUAUCAAUAAUUAAUUUAUUCCAAGUCUUCCAUCAUGUGUGUGCUACAUCUAAACCCACAUAUUUUGGUCUAGAUAAUCUGAUCUUUAGAAAAGAAAGUUUAUAUUUUAGCAUUUGUGAAUAUAGAAUUCUCAAAAAAAGUUUAUAUUUUUGCAUUUGUGAAUAUAGAAUUAUUGAGAAGGCCAAAUCCAAGAAACAGAUAAUGACUCUUAUCAAUAUCAGUAUCUAUAGUGAAAAUAAAGGUGCGUUUAUUAUACAUCUAUGAUUGUUCAUUAGAUUGUAUAUUGCAAAAUCUAUCUUGAUUCUAAUAUUCAGAAUAGAAAGCAUUUUUAGAACAAUUUUUCUUUUCAAGGGAGUCAUUUUCAAUAUAGACUUGGGAAAUUAUACUAGAUAAAUGUAGAUCUUGAGACUUCCCAUAACUGACAAUCUUGUCCUUUGGCUCGAUGAUCGAUCACUGUCUUAAAUUUAAUACUUUUAAAAAAAAGUUGUAAACAGGAGUCUUUUGCCAUAUAUUGUAUUUAUAUAUUUUCAGUUGGAACACUAGAUAUACUUAGGUAAAGUUUGAUAUUUUUCAGUUCCAUGUCAGAAAAAAAAAGAUUUUUUUUUGAAAGAUUACAAAAAAAAAUAUUUCUUUUAAACAACAAAGUGAACUUUAUUAAGCUAAAAUUGCAAGCUAGGGAAAAAAAAAAAAAAAACAUGAAUAAAAUCAUUUUUGUUCCAGUUUUCAUAUUACUUAACAAUCAAGAGUAAUGUUGAUAUGACUUAUAUACAUUUAUCAAUCAAUUUUUUUCUCUCCCUCACAAUCCGGUCUAAAUCCAUCAUCUGUUUUAGUUAACUUAACUAAAACUGGAUAAAAAAAAUGCUUUUCAUAAGAUUUAUAACCAUGCUUAAGAGAAAGAACUCUAAUGACCUAUGCAAACGAAUAAACUGUAAAAAAAAUUAGGUAUUCAGUUAGUUAUUUUGUCUUUCCAGCUUCAGAAGAAUUAGCUUAUUGAGUUAUAUAAAGCAGCUAAUGGAGAAGAAAACAUUAAAAAUAAAUAAAUAAAUAAAUAAAACAAAUAACUGAAAUGAUACCUGGAACUGAUCAUGGAUGGAAGUAGUUGUGAUUGUAGUACUGCCAUCGAUGCUCUUUACGCUUGGCAGAGAACUGAGGAUGAGUUGAUCAAGAAGAGGGAAGGAGGAGAUGGUGUUUGUGUGAGUAGAAGAUAUUAUUUCUUCAUUUUCAUCAUUAAUAUCUCUUUUUGAAACAACUUCUUCAAUACCAGCACAACGUUCUAUCCAGACCUCCUUUAAGUUGGGAAGAAGUUUGCCCAUGACAGGUGAAAAUAAGUACUUUAUGCUUUUGCAAUUCCAUAUUUGUAUGGUUGUGAGGUUGUGGAAUGAGUAGGAUUGUGAUUGGUUUUGAGGAAUUACAAGUUUCUUCCAAUUGCACUUCCACACAUCACUCAUCCUCUCCAUAUCAUAUAAAUAUAAUUCCUUGAGGUGGGGAAGUAGUAGUGGUGGUGGUUGAUGAUUAUAUUUAUGCAGAGUUGUUGUGAAAUCUGUGCUGCUGCUGCUGUUGCUACUGGAACUCUCUAUCUCAAACACCACUUCAACAUCCUUACAGCCUCCAUUUAACCAAAGUGUUUGAAGGUGAUUAACGUGAAAAGGUUUGGGAUGAAUUGAGGAUUCAACGUCAGGAAUAUUACCAUCCACCACUGAAAUGAUCUCUGCCUUGGAUAUAACAUUAAUCUGCAAAUAUUCAACAACAAAUAUAAUUCAGAAUUUCCAUCAACUAAAUUUUUAAAUUAAGUAUUCAUAAAUGGCACACCUGUUUAAAUCUAUUUACAUAACUAAAGUUGACAGCGAUUAAAUUAGCGGAUUUUAAAUAAUUUCCAAUGAUAACUUAUUUGACACAUACAAUAAAUAUUCAAAAUACUCGCACUUACACAAAUAUGUAAAAAUAACUUUUUUAGACUAACGUACAAAAUUGGUUAUCUGGUUUUUUGGUUUACAUACAAAAAAAUCAUUUUGCAAAUUUGAUCCCUAUCACUCACACCGUUAACUUACAUCGGUUAAAACCUUAUAAAAUGACUAUUUUGCCCUUCUUUUAUUUUUUAUUAUUAAUUAUCAUGAAAAUUAUUCAUAGGUCGCACCACCCAUAUAUCGCCCCAAUGUCCCCCUCUUUCCCCUUUCACCAUAUUCCUCCAUUGCAAUCACUUUCCUCCAUUACCAUAUCAAUCUCAGGUGCAUUUUCAUCAUCAUCAAGCAUGGAAAAUGCAAGGCAUAGCAUAAAUUCAACAACCAUAUCUUGUCAUCUUCAACACAUUAUUCAGUGAGUUGAAAUCCAAAAUCAUCAUUUAAGAUGCAAGUAUCAUAAAACAUACACCCAAUAAAAUAGAAAAAAGGCAAUGCUUACAACAUAUUGUCACAAUCCAAAACCAGACAACAUGUUUCCAAAAGAAAUUAUACUUUUUGGGUAUCAGAUGGGUGAAAUCUUAAAUUUAAGUGAAAAAGUUGCAGGACAAGUGGGUGAUGAUGCAAGAACAUCCAAUUUCAGUUGAGAUUUACAAACAAUUGUUGUGAGAUAUCCUUUAAGACUUCAUAUAUGAGUAUAUGACCUAAUGAAGGAAACACAGAGGGGAGCUGAGAUGCUCACUUGGAGGGAGGACCAAGAUAAAGGGGACAAGAUUUUAAUAUUUACUCUUUUUUUUUUUUUUACCAUAAAUCAAUAAUUUUGAGUGAUCACUUAAUUGAUCUCUAGAAUAAAUAUGUAAAAUCUUCGCAUUUAAUGGAAAUAUAUAUAAAUAUUAAUUUUCAAUCCCUCUUAAUAAUGCGGUGUAAAUAUGUAAUAUUUGAAGUUACAAUUGUUAUAAAAUACUAAACAAAUGCUUAAGUAUAGUGAAAUAACAAAAAUAAGAAAAUAAGAAAAACUUGUUUAUAAAUAUGUAAAAGUGAUAAUAUAAAGGUUGAAAGACAUCAAUACUUAGCACUGUAGGAAAUCUAGCCUACUUCUCCACACUUAAAAAUGUAGUAUAUCUGUAAUUUGUCCAUGUUUUCAAAUGUGGAGUAUUAAAUUGUUUAUCCACAUUUUGAAGUGUAAAGGUUUAGAUACACGUACACAUAUAAGUGUGAGGGUAUAUAUAGAGGCACAUACAAAUAAGUGUUGUAACAUCACAUACCUCCCGGCUGUUCUGAACCAAUUCAAUGUUACUCCCGGUUUCUUCCCAAGGUCUCAUACCAUCUAUACUCACAUUCAUAAGUGUCCUCACAUCAGAAUUGGUGACGGUCGGUGUGAAUACGUUUACAAACCUCUCACAAUUGUAUAUUUGUAUACUUUCAACAGCUUGAAAGCUACGGAUGAGGAUAUCAGAGCUACUUUCACCUUUCAUCCUCCACAACUCUCUUAGCUUCCCCAAAUUAUGUACUUUAAUGAGUCUCAAGUUGCUACUGUACUCUUCAAUUUCACCAACACAACUCAUGUCGAUGUUAAAUAACAAUUCAAUGCUUCCACAAUUAGAAACAUCCAGCUUUUCCAGACGACCCAGCAAAGACAUGGGAUUGGUUGGAAACAGAUUCACAAGAUUAUCACAUUCCCUCACUCUAAUCUCUCUCAACAUGCAGGCAUUAACUUCGUCACUACUACUAAAUUGAUAAGGCCAUAUCUCUUUCAGCUUAUCCAUCCUCAAAAUCUCCAAUUUCUCCAGCAUAGGAAUCAACACCUGCGCAACAAUUAGGACAUGUUGAUCAUCAAUAACACCAUCUAAUGACAAUAUAUUGGGCAAUUAUAUUAAAAAUAUUUUGGUUAAGGAAUGUACCCCUUUGUUGAAGAAAGGUUGAAUUGCAGAGACAUUACUGGACAUAGAAGAUGUUGCAGAUGUUUUCUCAGGAUAAAUGCUACUGAAAUUAGGAAGGCCAUCAAGUUUCAACUCCACCAGCUGUGGUAGCUCAAUUACAUUAGCAGUGUUGCAAAGACCUAUCAACUCUGGUAGCAUCUUCAAUGAUAGAAACUUUAGCCCCUGAAACCUAAUUGCCCCAUCUCCACCAUUCUCACUAUGUGCAAGUACUUCCAGAACAGGGCACUGUGAAACUGUGAGGCGUUCAAGGUUCAUCAAACCAUUUGCAAUAGGGACUGUGAAGAGGAAUCUCAAGUUUGCACACUUGAAGACAUCAAGGACUCUUAGAUUAUUAAACGACUGUUGAUGAAAAUCAUCCAUACCAUCCACUUCUAGAUAAAGCACCUCUGUUUUCACAAACAACUCAUUCAAUCUAGAUUCCAAUAGCUCAUCUUUGUUAGUGACCAACAUCAACGUGUUUUCAAAUGAGUGCAUCUUUAAUCCAGGAUUGUCUCCUAAACCACAUCCCAUAGAGAUCCUGAACCUUUUGAGUUUAGUAAACAGCAUAUUCUCGGGUGUACCGUUGUCAAAGAACUCAACUUCUAAUGCAGAAAGGUGCUCUGAAAGUUUUGCUAAUUCAGCAUGAUUACUGUCUGUGAACCUAAUUGCCUUUUCAUCAGCAACUCUCAUAUAAAACUCUUCAAGAUUGACCAAAUCUUUCAAAACACCAUCAUCAAUACGAAGAUUGACACAGCCCGUCAAAUCCAGUAGCUUUAGCUUCUUCAACUUUCCGAUUGUGGAUGGUAACUUUCUGAUGCCACAAUAAGCAAAACUGAGCACUUCCAAAUUCAAGAGUUCACCAAUAACAGAGCAAUCAAGCAUCAAUGUGCAUCGAUGGAAGACGAGUGUCCGAAGCUUGGUGGAGCACUGAAGUGAUCUGGGGAGCAACGGAUACUGCAUUUUUUCGUACGCUAUAACUUCAAGAUUUUCCAUUCUUUCAUAAAAAUCUUCAGGAAACAUAAGCGACUUAUCUCCAUCCAUAAGUCUCAAAAGUGAUACGUUUGGGUACUUAGACUCACUAGAAAACUCAGACAUACCCGUGCAAGUAAUAGAAAUUCUGUUACAAGACUCACUGGUUCCAGCACUAGUCCACUUUGAAUUAUCACCAUGGUUGAUUAUCCAUGGAUGGUCACCCUUAGAAACUCUACCUACAACAAAAUCGAGCACAAGAUCAUGCAUUCUGACACACCCAUCAUCAUCGCAUUCCAUCAACAAAUUUGCUUUUUUGAGACUCUGCACACACGUCUCUGUCCUGUCUCUAGCCUCUCCCAAAGUAGAAACUCCAUUUAACAACCGUAGGCCCCAUGCAUGUCUUGUGAGUUCCUCGAUUGGAAUAUUAAAGUCAUCGGGAAACAAACCACAAAGAAGAAAGAUCUCUUUUUCCUCAUCCUCUUUUAUAUAGUCAUAGCUUAUCUUAACACUUUCUUGCACAUAAUCAAGAUUUUUAUUCUGAAAACGGCGGAGUGUAUCUCUCCAUGCAGCCUUUUCUUCAAACUUAAGACGACUGGCAACGAGAUUAAUGGCAAGGGGCAAACACCCACAUUCUCUCACAAUCUCUGUUCCAAUUUGAUUGAGCUCCCGAUCAUUUUGUUUUGCGACUCCUAUGAUUUUCCAAAAGAAAUUUUGUGCUUCUAGCUCCUCCAUGAGUUCCACUCUAACUACUUUCAAAUCAAAAUUACAUUUUUCUGCAAUUUGCUUGCAAGUAUUUUCCUUUCGUGAUGUCAGCAAUAACUUGAAGCUGUUGGGAAAAGGACUUAGUCCAAUAUCUUUGAGAUCGAUCGACUCCCAUACAUCAUCUAAUAUCACUAAAACCUUUUUGUUUUGUUUUACCAGCUCUGUAAAUGCUAUACCAAGACGUUCUGCCCUUCUUGUUGGAUCUGUUUCAGUUAGAGAUAGACUUACGCAUUCUGCCAAAGCUUGCUGAAUAGCAGACGCUUCUUUUUUCCCAAUAACCACCUUUAGAAACAAAUCAAACUUUUUCUCACCUUCCAGAUGCUUUUUCAGCUGUUCCAUCAUGGUCGUUUUUCCCACACCACCCAUUCCACAUAGGGCUAUCAUCUGAUUUUGUUGAAGGAACCCGAGCGCAUCCUUAAAAGGCUUCUCUCUUGAUUUGAAGUGAUUUUGGGCAUCACCAUCCGAAGAUGCGAUUUUAGAAUGCACUCUCCCAAGAGGUUUUUGAGCAUCACUCCAGCUCAUUUGAAGUUUUUCCGUAAUAAGACUUUCGAUCGCCUCAGUAGUCUUACAUGCCUUCCUUCCUGCUCGGUACCUCAUUAUUAUGUUAAAACAUCCACUCUCAGUACUUGAAAUGCUUUGAGCAUCUUUUCUAAUCUGUUCAACCUCUUCCAACCAACCCGGUACACGCUCAGGUAUCUCUAGAUUCUUUAUAUUGUUUGCGUCCCUGUGAUUUUUGACAUCAAUGCUUAUAACAUCCAGUUGGUUCAUUUUAGCACUCAUGUUCCUCACAUGUUUUGUGGAGGAAAAAAGAUAACCCAGAUUUUUCUUGACAGGAGGCAGCAAACAUUCAACAAUUGGACCAGCAAUGAUUUCAAGUAUAAACGCCAUUUUUUUUUGUUCUAGCUUUUUGUGAGACCUGCAAACCGUGUAACAAAUCAAUAAAGGGCAUGAAAUAACAAAAGUUGUGAUUUAGUAUACAUUUAUGCAUUCAUGUUUUAUUAUUAGUAUGUAGAAGUAGAACUAUCUUUUUUCCAAUAUCAUUUAUAAUCCAUAGAUAAAUAGUGUUCAAAAAAUUUAUUCUAAGACUUCGAUACCUUGCAUGGGAAGAGGAAUAGUACACAUAACACAUUUAGUAAGAAACUAAGAUCAGAUGUAGGAAAACUAAUGCUCGUGUAAAUUCAGACAAGUUAUUUAUUUUCUUGUGGAUAUUCCCUUUUGGACUUAAACUUUGCUUUCGUAAACAUAGUGGGAAUAGGUGUUGAUUUCAACAUAUCAUCAUGUGAAUAAUUACAUUACAUUUGAAAAUCUUACACAUAUCAUUGUACAGUCCAAACACAAACAUGCAUAGGUAACAAGGAAAAUGUGAUUCUCACAUACUUCGAUGAUGGAUUAUACUCUUGUGAGUCUAUCAAUUCUGUAAAAAACAAUCAAGAUGAAAUAGAAGACAAAACCUAACUACAAAGAUUUUGGGAAAUUUGAACCCUAUUGAGACUUUUAUAAGGAACUUGUUGUGGACAACUCUCCACAUGAGGAUAGAUUAAGAAAGCCUUGAAUGAGAAAAGAAAAGGCAUGCAUAAUCUUGUAUAAGAAAAAGAAAAACCCACAUCUGCAUUUGUGGAACCUGGAGUGUGGUUGGCAUUUUCAAAAAGUUCCCCUUUUUCACUCUCUCUGUACUUACGUCCAUUACCUUUCUAUCUCUCCACCAAAAAAAAAAAACUCUCAAACCCUUGGAGUUUCCCCUUACAGUGAGAAGGAGUAAUGCCGAAAAAAAAAGGUAGAAAAAAUUAAAGGACGGGUCCCAGUUUAAUCGAUGACCUCGAGACCAAGCUAGACAACACCAUCUCUCGUAAGCUUGUAGGUUGCCUCUGCCAUGAUUACGAUAGCAUUAUUCCAUACUUCAAUUAAAUGGGGGCAAAAGCACGUUGUGAAAUUGUUAGGUUUUACAGGCAACAGCUAAUCGAUCGAAGGCAUGAUAUGAAUCUUCUUGAAUUAUCAGCAUAUGGAAAGGGAUAAGAUGUGGAGGAUUUUUAUUCUUUCGCUGCCUCGUGUGUGGGACUUGUGAUCCGUUGACUCAAGGUCAAUGGUAUCUUCAAUCUUGUCUAAAACCCAUAUGGACUUUAUUUUACAUAAAUGGGCUGUCCAAUAAUCUUGGGCCUAGUUAUAAUCGUGAAAAUCACUUUUGAGUGUAAUUAGGUUACAUCUUAUUUGAUGUAUAGGUGCAAUACUAAAACGAGAAAAUGAAUUAGGAUGUUAAUUAUUUUAUUUGUUUUGUUUAUAAUUAGGCAAAAAAAAAUUAUAGGAUAAUCAAACUUUUAGAAAUGUUCAAAUGUUAUCAAUUGUAACUAAUAUUUAGUUUUGAUGAUUAGGAACUUUGUAAUAUAUCUUCUAAAACUAUAUAUUACUUUUAAAUUUAUUUUUACUAUAUUUUUCAAAUAUGGUUAUUAAUAAAUUCCAUUUUGUUAAAUCUUCUUAUAUAAGAAAUAGUUAUGAAUUUGAUAUGGAACAAAUAGCUACAAAAUUUGUUAUGGAAAAAUGAUUAUGAGAUUUGCUACCGAAAUAUAGCAAAUCUUCUCUAUCUUCUCUAUGAUUGUGCGACUCUCUUUUCUUCUCAAUUCGCACAAUGAUACAUGUUUCUAAUAUAGGUAUAUGUCAAAAUAAUAUGUUCGGAUAGAAAACUUAGCAAGUCAUACAAAGGUUAAACAUCAUAAAAUUAAUAUAAAAAGCAUCAUAAAUAUAUUAAACAUAUCACCAUUUUCCGUUGUCAACCAUAUAGAGAACAACAUUUAUACUUAUACAUCUUUAUAGAGAAAAAAAAUUCAUACCCCAUCCGUCCUAUAUUUAUAGUCAAUGUUUUCUUUUUGAUUUGUACCAAAAUAAUAGCUUAUUUCUAAAAAUAAAUAUUCAUUUUACCAAAAUACUCUUCGUUAUUAAUUAAACAGCAAGAAAAUUAAAUACGACUACCAUGAAAUUAAAUGCAAAAAAAGAUAAGACUAUCAUUUUAUUUAACAAAGUUGUUUGUCGAUUAAUGUUUUCUUAAUCUAUGUGUCUUUUUUUUUGCGGGCAAUAAUACGUCUGAGGUCUUAAAAAUUGACUAGGGACUGAACUAGUCGUACACUGGUCGGUCCCAACCUGGUCUAGACCGUCGGUCCUCAUGCAGUCCCAAUUUUCACUAAAAUGUCGGAGCCAGCACCUGAACAGUCUCGGGUCGAACCGCUCUUGGUUCCAGAUCGGUCUUAAACAUCGGAAAGUCAAUCAUGAGUUUUCACUAAAAUAUAAGCAAGAUUCUCUGUCUAUAUUCUUUUCAUGGUAUUAGAGCCAUGAAGAGCUUGUUGGUUUUUAGGAUUUUAGCCAAUAAGGAAAGCCCAAUCUGUUUGGCCCACAUAUAUAUAACUAUUUCCUUGAAAACAACACAUCCAUUAUGUUCCCGGGUUAAAUUCUAAUUGGAUAUUUGUGCAACAAUUAUUUGGCAAUUGCAACUGUUUUGUUCAUUUAACUCCUAACUUUUAUGCUAUAUUAGAUCGCAAUUCAAAGAAGCUGACUGGUGCAGCUGAAAGAAAAAAGGGGAUAUAACAAAUUCUCUCGAUCUUUGGCAUAAACCCUCUAAGCCAUCCCACAUGAAGAAAGUCUUAAUGAUAGAGAUACUAUGUUAACUACAAAUUGUGAAGUGUUUCACUGUGCUAAACAGUGUCAGAAAAAUUUGCAUUACCCAAACAGAUAUGAGAUCUAAUGGUAACCCAUAGGUCUCAGUUUAUACUUUUUCACUUUGUUUCUUUGCAGUGAUUGAAAGUGGGAAUAAAUAGUUGAUUCAACAUCUUUCUCAUAAUGUGAACAAUUGAAUAUCAGUUGAAAAUCUUUCAUAUCCGGUAGUUUAGUUCAAAAAACCCACUCAAACUGAGAGAUUCAUCUAAUAUUUGAAAAAUCAAAAUGAUUGAAAAUGAGAUCUGACACUCCUGUACCUAGCUGGAAACAGAGUCCUACACUCAUAAAAUUACGGGCGAUUUAUUAGGGCUGAUACUGAUCUCUAGUAUGAAGCAUAUAUCAUAAGAAAAUCACUACUUCAUAAACAUUAGUCAAUAAUCAAACCAGAGAAAAUAAAUGAAUAGGCGUUUUCAGCUUAUUUAACAUUUCAGUUGAUUUUAUCUGUAGAAGAUACACAGAAUGCACAAGGACCACAACGAGUAGCAAACUAAACUUGAUUCCAGAUAUCUAGUCAAGGAUCGAUAUAUUUGAAACAGGAAACAACAAAUUCAAGUAAUAGAUUGGUAUUCAUAGAGAAUCUUUUUUAACAAACUCGUACCUGGCUCUGUUCUAUGAGACUGUGCGUAUGCUUGCAAUGUUGCUGCUGGUGCUACUUUGCAAAAAUUCUAAUGGUGUAGAAGAAGACCACUGAUUGAACAGCUAUAUAUUACACUGCCUCAAUUAUUUGGGUGAGUGGGGGACAUAAUUUUCCAUUUGUGCUUAAAAGUUGGAUAUUGGAUAACCUUAUCCUAACACACGUAAAUGUAAUAAUUUUUUAUAUAUUGUAAUAAUCCUUCAAAUAUGUUAAUAUUUGGAAAUUAGUUGUCUGAUUUUAUAAAUCAGCACUAAAACUAUUUUUUCUUAACAUGAUAUGAUAUGGUAGGUAAUUGGGCUAGAAAUGGAUUAUUUUAAAAUUACAUAAAACUAAAAAAAAUUACAACUGAGAAAAUUAUCAUAAUAGUUUUUUUUUAAGGUUUUAUCACAAAAUAGCUACAAAACUGCAAAAUGGCCAAAACACGAAGAAAAAAAAAACUUCACAAGCCCACAUCUACAAAAAGAUGUUUAGCCUGCGAAUUUUUUUUUUUUUUUUUUAAUAUCAAAACAACGUCGUUGACUAUGAAAAUAUGAUUGUUGAUUGCGAAAAAUGAGUUAAAUUAUGAUUUUUUUUUACAAAAAAAAAUGCGAUGUUUUUUUCACAUUAACUACGACAUUCAAGCAAUGGCGGAUCCUUUAUAUGGCUAGGGGGGCCAUGGCCCCCUUAUGUUUUUUUACCUCCUUAAUACUAUAUUAUAUAUAAAUAAAAGUUUGGUUUUAUUUGUUGACUAAGGAUUUGGCCCCAGGUUAAUGAUAAACACAUGGCUGCACCAUUUUUAAAAGAAUUAGCUAGAUUAUUAUAAAGCUUUGCUAUUUUUAGUGUGAUCUAGGCCCAUAUUUAUUUAGAGAAAAAAAUGUAGUUUUUAGAAAAAUUAAGUUAGUGAAACGAUAUGCUAAUGUCAAUAAUAUAUGAUAUCUAAUUUUGUAAAGGUAAUUUUAGUAUAGUUAGAAUAAUUAGUUAUAUUUAAAUAUAAUUAUUAAAUUGUUAUUCUCUAUUAUUAUUUUGUUAAAGCAAAUCUGAUGUAGAUUGAACUACAGUAAUAGAUAAUUUGUCAAGUGUAUUGUCAAACACUUUUGUAAACUUGUAAUACUUUACGUGUAUCGAACGUGAGAUGCUCGAUUUUUGAAGAAGACAGUCUUUAUUAAUCAAAAAUAGAACAACCACAUUACAAAUAAAGGUGCAAAUAUUUAAAGACUCUUAAACGUAAACCUAAUAGAAGUCUAAGACUUUUGAAACAAGGAAACAAACAAAUAAAUAAGGAAAGAAAAAGACUCAACAUUAAAGAAACUAAUUAUCCAAUUACUUGGACUCUACCCUUUCUUUUCGUUGUUGUGGUCCAGAUGGACCAUAGCCACCUCAUCAAAAUCAUAUUACAUAGUCAACAUCAAAAUGAUAAAAAAAUCAACAAUCGUUUCGCCCCCUCCGGUUAAGGGAUCCGUGUUCCGCCCCUGCAUUCAAGGAAUGUACUGUGAAAAUCAAAAUCUUGCAAAACCUCGUAGGACGUUAUCUUAUAAGAGAUUGUUUUGUAAAAUAUUAUCAUAACCAAUUNAGUUGUUUAUUUUUUUUGCGAAUUUUUGUUUGGUGUUGUACUUGAUUGUAGGAAGAAAUAUAAUUACACAAAUGGACAAAUACGGAAACCUCAGGCGUGGAGGAUCAAGUCGGUUAUCAACAAAUAUGUGACAAACAUAUAAUAAUUUUAAUGUAUUUUCAUGAUUUUAUACAGGUUUUGAUGUAUGUGGUAUACCUCCAUGCCAUCUUGAAUAUUUUAUUUACACAGAGUGAAUGAGAGAUAUGGAUCAUAUAAAUUUGUUUCAUCUACCACUUCUUCCUUUUCCCAUAUAAAUUUUAUAAUUCAUAUAUAAGUCCAUGUCUUGGGAAUUCCUUUGUUUUUCAUUUGUUAUAUGGAAUGUGCAAUAGUUGAUUUUCUUAAUUCGUCAUAGUAUUGUAGGGCAACCUAAAACAUCUUAAUGUAAUACUCCCUCCGGCCCAAUUUAAAUGUCCAGGUUACUAUUUUAGGUUGUCCCAAAAUAAAUGUCCACUACUAAAAAUAGAUGAACAAUUUACCAAAUUACCCUUAUGAAUAGAUGAACAGGUUACUAUUUUAGUUAACCAACAUGUUUUUAUUAAUGUGUUAUAUGAAAAGUAAAUUAUGAAAAAAGGGGGUCAUCGAGAGAAUCUGGAAACAAGUAUGUACAAUUGAAAAGAUAAACAAAAUAACUCUACUCAACUAAAAAUCCAAUCCUAUGAAUUUAAUGUGUAGUGACAGUAAAUCAUAAUCACAGAAACAAAACAUCUCAUUCAUUUUCAUUUAAAAAAAAAUCAAAAUACAAAUGUUUCCUUCCAAAUUGGGUGAUGUGCAACAUAUUUUUAUUUUUUCAAAUACAAUAUAGCAUUGUCUAAUAAAUUUUGAUCACAUUCAAUUUGUAAUGGAAAAUUACCUUCUGGUUCUAACCAGCAUUUACCAACAUGUGGCACAUGAUAGUUGUUGCCACCUUGUACUUUUAUGAUUUCUUUCAUGCAUGUUUGUGGAAUUAAAAAAAACCUUGUUAAGUUGUUGUGAUGACAUUCUUUCAAAAGACGUUUGAUCCGCAUCAUCCAAUUCAUCAAUUGUAUGCAAAACCUCUUGUUCUUGAAGUGAUCGUCUUGCUCGAAAGAAUAACCAAGGUCUAACACAUUCUAAUUCGGGCUAUUAGGGGGCUGAAAACAAAGUCGAAUAUCAUAUCCAUGUCGAGAUGCCGCUUCAAGAAACUUGCUAUCGUUGACAUCAAUAUGAGGCUUUGUGUUAUCUUGUUGAAUAAAUAUUAGACCGAUAUGACCUUGCGGCCAUUUGGAUUUGAUAUCCCGUAGAACCUUUUCUAUCAACCAUGACCUUGUUACUUCUUUGUUCACCGAUAAAAUAGGUUUCGUAUCCAAUGUUCCCAUAAUACGGUUUUUUCUUGAACGCUUAGUAGGUUCUAAUGUUGUAAACGGGUAGAUACCAAUUUUUCCUGAAUAUACUUUGUUACCUAAUGAAUCAAAUCUUGGUCUUGCUACAGCUGCUAGAAACAUAGCUUUUGUGAUAAACUUUUUGGCUUUACAUGUUUGCAACGGUUUAUCCUCACCGGGGACAAGGUAGUGACGUUUUGGUGGUUUUGAUAUGUAAAACUACUUUUCAUCAAUAUGAAAAACAUUAAACAUAUCAUAGAAUGUAGAAAUCAGACUUAAUAAUGAUUGUGUAGUAAUCUUUGAUUAGCAAAAUUCUAACCUUUCUCUUCUAUUAUCAUGAGUUAGAGUCGAAUUGAUGGAAUUUGUAUGUGGUCGAAGUACACAUUCCUUGAUACGUCUAUGCAUCGUUGAUUUCGAGAUAUUUACAAAUUUCACAAGAGAUCGUAUAUUGGCUUGACGGCAUAAUGGAAUUUUUGAAACUUGAUUCAAGUUUAUUUGUACCCUUUUCCACCCAACAAAAUUUGGUUUAUUUGAAGAUAAAUCAACCAAUAAUCCUUCGACAUUAGCUUGAGUUCUUUCGAGAGUUGUUAUUGGUUCCACCACUACCAUUCCGCAUGAAGGGGGGUAUUAAGCACAUGUAAAGUCUAGAAGCUACGGUACAUACGAAAAGUAUAUGGUAUAGUUUUUACCCUUACUUGUACUUACUUCUUGAGAGUUGUAAGUGUAAAUGUUUUAAGUAUCUAUAGACAUCCUGUAACAUUCGAAUCCAGGUAUUUCCUUUUUUAAGUCCCUAUUAUAAAUCAAAUUGGAAAAGAAGGCCCUUUGUAUGUUGGGCAUAUGUAUAUGUACGCUUAGCAUACAUGGGCGUAUUGAUCGAGUAGCGGAGCCACAUACGCAGUGCGUACGAAGCAUACACGGGGCGUACGUGGCUAAAAGGCAAAAACCCUAAUUUACGGACAUGAGCCCUAUUUAAGCUCACUUAUGACCUUUGUACCUCACUCUUAUCAGCCUUCACUCCUUUAAACGUCCCUAAAAACCCUAUUUUCCCAUUAGGAGUGAUCUUUAAGCAUUGGGGUAACUUUGGUGGCCUUUUUAUUGUGUUUGCAAGAAGAAUAAGUUGGUGUUCAUGCUUUGGGCAUGGGUGAUCUUCAAGAUCCUAAAUCUACAUCAUCUUGGGGAGCUUUUGAAGGUAAAAAGCCCUUACCUUGUUGAUCCUUUACAUAGGUAGAGUAAGUAUUUGCUUAUAAGUUCAAUUUUAUCCAUGGAUUCCCUUUUGUGAGUUAAUUUGGGCAACUCCAGAAGCUUGAAAUGCUAGAUCGUAGUUCCUUUGGUGUGUUAAAGGCAUAAAAUGCUAUCUUGGUGGUCAUUGUGACACCAUGCAUGGAAGUAGGUUCUUAAAUUGGGUCUUAAUGGACAAAAUUGGAUGUUGGACUCCCAUAAGACAUGCAAAGGCAUAAAGUUGCCAAAUUUAUGCCCUAGAACCCCUUAAAUGAUGAAGAAGUGUGUGUGUUUGUGUGUGUGUGGAGAGAGAGAGAGAGAGACAGAAAGAGGAGGGGGAGAGAGAGAGAGAGAGAGAUGUGAGGAGUAUUGAGAUAGACGAUUUCAUAAUAUAAAUUAGUUAAUAUAAUAAUUUGGAUAUUAUAUUUUUAAUGACUAAUAUGCCCUUGUGAUCAUUUCUAAAAAGUCUAAGAUACCAUUUAAAUUGUUGAUAGAUACAGAUCUUCCAUCUUUCAUCUAGACCAUGAAAAUUUUUGAUCUAACGUUCCACUUUUAGUUCUUGGGAAACUAUAGGUUCUCAAAUGAUCCUCUCUCUCUCUCUCUCUCUCUCUCUAUAUAUAUAUAUAUAUGUUCCUAUUUAUUUUUUAAUACUUAUUAAAUAUUGAAAAAAGGAAUAAUGGUAUUAUAGUCUUUUCAAAUUGGAAAGAUACCUUUUCCACACACAAACAUGGUAAAAAGGACCAGCAAUCUUGUAACAUUCGAACCUUGUAAGUUUCCAUUUUAAACCUUCCUAAACAAAACAUUUCAAUUUGGUCCUUUUGGCUAGUAUGCGGGGCGUACUCUAUGAGUACGCUCGGCGUACUAGGCUGAAGUCUGAUCCCGGGCAUCGACCACAUACAUUGGGCAUGUGUGGAUUACAUUGGGAGUACGUUGGCUAGGGGAAAACCCUAAUUUUUAGGGGUUUUGACUUAUUUAAGCGUCAUUAACCCACCUCUUAGAUAUGUCUUACCAGCCUCCAUAUCCUCAAACCCCAACUUCGUCCCUUAGCCUUUGUGUGGUGCCUUUGAGCUCUUAUGAAGCAUUUUUUGUGUGUUUUCGCAUCCUGAAGAGGACGGAGAAGAUUGAAGACUCAUCCUUUGGAGAAGAUUUUUGAGAUCCAAAUUUAGCUUCUUCAUUUUGUGGCUUUAGAGGUAUAAUGUCCAUAACUUGUCAAUUCAUUUCAUAAAUCUACUAUUUGGCUUGUUUAUGGUCAUUUUGGUCCCUUUUGGUUGGUCCUUGUGAGGUAAGGCCUUUUCUGGAAUUUAACGUUGUAGAUCUGGACAUAUUAGGGGUUCCUUAACCAUAAAGAUGCAAUCUUUAUGGUUUUAUGGACUCAUGCAUGUGUUAAGUCAUUUGUUAAGCUAUUUUGAGCUCUAGAGCCCCCAUUAAGCCAUGUAUACACGUAAUGUUGCCAACUUUACAUGAUAAAUCAUCUUUUAGGACUAGAUAUGAGAGUAUGGAGUAGGGGCUAAAUGGAUUAAGUGCUUAUUUGAUGGGGUUGACCAACUGGUGAGUACGUUGGGUGUACCAAGCUAGUACGUUACACGUACUUUCCCAAGGACGUAUACGUUGAGCGUACGAGCUAAGUACAUCUCAUGUACUUAGCAGAUGGGCUUCGGAAGUUUGGGUUUCUCAUCUUUGGGCCAUGUUUGGACUUUAGGUGAAUAAGGCCUUGUUAGGCCAUCAAUUUUUAUUUUGGGCUGAUGCUUUUAUUUUGGGUUCACUAGGAUGAAGGUCCACGAAGGGACUUGGGCCUAAUUUGGAAAAUUGAGCCAUAAUCAGGCUCUUGUGAUUGUGAUUUGGAUGGGUUCCUUUUGUAUGGGGGUUAAGCAAGUAUAAGGUUUCAUAAUUUUAGUGGUGGUAUGUCGGUUCGGUAGUUAAAGGAAGCAGUGUAUUGUUCAGCCCUGGAAGGUUCAUCUCUUUGUUCAUCUCGCGUUGCUCAUUAUGUUCAUGGAAUUGUUAUCAUUAUGAUGAGUCUCUCUCGAAGGAAUAUCUAAUCACUUUAGUCAAAUGAAAGGUUGUCGAUGUCAACAUAUGAUCUAUGAUUUUGUUUUCUAGCGGGAACCUCAAGUAAUCAGAAAUUGAGUACUCAGUUUGGGAGAUAAGUGGAAUGGAAUUAGAAACAGUUCAGUGCAGGCGGUCUGUUAGGGAGUCAGACCAAUUCGAGACUUCAGAUUUCAGGUUGAGUAGAUGUGGCUUUUCUACAUGGGAUUGUUUUAGGAUGGGAUUAUAUGGAAUGAUUUCAAGGAUGAAACCUAAUUUAAGUAGGGGGGAGUUUUAACGCCCUGUCCCCAGUCGUUUACCAUGUGGGUGUGGGGGACAAAAUUUAGAUGAUCCGGGUGUUCAGUUUGUGUUUUGGAGCCAAGGGGUAUUUUGGUAAAGUGUCAGAUCAAGAUUUUAUGGAAAUUGGAUUUUGUUCGGGAAAUAUUAAGCCGCGUAUGAGUUGAUAAAAGCGUAAAGCUUCUCUUUACCUUUUUAUGGAUAUGAGGAUCGUCGAAAUCGGAUUUAUAACAAAGAAGUUAUGGCCUUCAAAGUAUUUUAGGGUUUAAGGGAUACCCUAGUACGCGGGGCAUACAUAGGGAGUACAUGGGGCAUACUAGUGCAAAGUGAAGUACGUUGGGCAUACACUGGUGUAUGAUAAGCGUACCAAGGAGGAAUGAUCAUGAAGCCUUGGCCUCUUACAUUGGGCGUACAAAGGAGUACGCUGGGCAUACGAGGAGUACAUGGAACCCUAAUUUUGAGUGUGUUGUACGCUAUUUAAGUACCUUAAGUCUUAGGGUUGGCCUCUUUACCAGCCCCCAAACCUCCUAAAACCCUUAAUCGACCCUUAAAUAUUCUUUCUGCUGUUCUUGAGCUCUUGAGAAUAUUUUGUUGGUCAUUUUUCCCAUUGUGACGGAAGUAAAGAAGAUUGAAUAUGCUUUUCUUGGUGAGGAGCCUAUAGAUCCAGAAUCAUCACCCUUUUUGCAAGCCUUUAGAGGUAUCAAGUUCAUACCUUCGCUUGUAAAUGCUUAGAUCUCUUUUUAAUUGAUUGGUUAUGUUUUUGAUCCUUUUUUGGGUUGUUUAUUGAGUUAAGACAUUUGAAGGACUUAUUCCUUUAGAUCUGAGCUUAUUGGGAGUUCCUUAAGCAUAAAGGUGCCAACUUUAUGGGGUAUUGGGUCUCAUGCAUGCAUUAAGUCACAUAUUAAGUCCUUUUUAAGCUUAAGAGCUUCAUUUAUCCAUGCAUGAAUGUAAAGUUAGUAACUUUACGUGAUAAAUCAAUCCAAGGAAGUCAGAUCUAGGUUGUGGAGCCGAUUCUUUAUGUAAUAAGAGCUUAAUAUGGAAGUUGGUUAUACACGAGGGUACGUUAGGCGUACAAGAAGGUACGCUUAGUGAUAUUGUCAUAUUUAUACACAUUUUAGGCAAUAACUGAAUACAAUUUUAUACAUAUUUUGGUUAUUUGCAAAGAUAAAUGGUACUUAUAAGAUCGAAUUGUAUUUUGCAGCCAAAAGGAACAUUCUUGAAGGAAAAGGACCAAAAGCGACAAGAUUGGAACUUUGGGGGAUUGGAGCUUAAAAGAUGAAUAUUUCAGAUAAAAGUCAACCUCACGAUGUGAGGAAUUAACUCUCACGACAUCAGUCAUAACAUUUUAGAAGAUAAACAUUUAGAGGACAUAAUACAUGUUCGAUACGGAUUACAACUGAGCUCACGGCGUGAGCUUCUAUAUCUCACAACGUGAGCAGGGUAAUUACCAAAAUCUAUAUAUAUCCUUGGCACUUACAAAUGAAGGACUUCUUCUGGAGAUUUGGAGGUUUUAGAGAGAGAAUUCUGGAGAAAAUAAGCCAGAGGAUUCAAGUGUUAAGCAUCCAAGGAAGAAGAAUUGAUUGAAGAUCAUAAUCUUUACUUAGUUUGGUACAUUCAACUAUGUUUUUAUUUAUUGAAUUUAUGUGGGUGAUUUCAACCAUGAGUAGCUGAAUUUAGCUGCUUCUAUUUAGCUAAAUGAAGCCUCAACUUAUGGAUUAGCUAAAUUGAAUUAUGGAUUUUUAGUAGUUGGUUAUGUUCUUGUGUUAGAUUGUGAAUACCUAGCAUGCUAAUAUUUGAUGCUUUAUUUGCUUGAAUUCAUGUUCUGUGUAGCUUAGUAACUAUUAAAUUACAUGAACUUGACACCUAGUAAUUUAGUGAGCAUUGAAUUACUAGAGCUAGGAUCGAACCAAUCUUAGAUAAGUAAUUAAAGUAACUGAAUUUAGCUGUGUUGGAGAACAUGAAUUAUGACCAAAAUUGUCUUUAAUAAAUAAAUCUUACAUAGCCUCAUUCAUAAUGCAUAGUUGAUUUUGUGUUUGAUUGUGUGUGACCACACAUAGUUUUACAUGAAUUAGUUAAAUAUUAGUAAAUUUGGACUUAAAUUACUAAUAAUACAAAAUUUGGUAACCAACUAUAAUAAUCCAUAAUUGUUAGCUAACCAUAAAGGAGAAGUGGAUUUGAACUAAACGGAAGUGUUUUAAAUAUUUGAUUAAAUAGUUAUUGAGUGAUAAAGUUUGUCUGAGCAAAAUCAGAUAAAAAACAACUUUUGCUUAGAAAUUUAGGUCAGUUUAGUAGUAAUUAGGUUAAUUAAUUAUAUAUGUUCCCUGUGUUCGAUAUCCGAUUGUUUGUGUUAAACUAUAUGUGAAAAUGUCCACUGCCUUUAGUCGAAUAACUAGUUAGAUAGUUGGUAUUUGGUAAAAUUAGGUGUAGUAAUAUUUUGACAUCACUUAGUGUAUAAGCCCUAAGGCAAGUACAUUGCGCGUACUCAAGAGUAGGCCUCAGAACUUUUGGUCUAUGUUUGGGCCAUAGUUUGGGCUUAGAUGUUCAGGGCCUUGUUGGGCCAUCAAAACUUAAGUGUUUUGGACUAAGAAUGUUGUUGAACCUUGGAUUAAAGCUUAUGGAAGGGUUUGGUCCCAAUUUCGAAAAUUAGGCCAUGUUUAGGCCUUGUAUGAUUAUUUGGUAUUUGGGCGUUUUAGAUUAUUAGGUUUGGGAUUAAGUCUUGGUCCAAACUAGGUACGGGGUAAAUUGGUCAUUUACCCUAAUUAUGGUCUGAUGGUUAUGGAUUGGAAUCCAAUUGUUAAUUCAAUGUUAUUUGAUAUUGAUAGUUCGGGGAUUUGUCGUACCAUUAGCCAGGAAGUUAUCGGUGUGGUUCAGUAGUGUGAGGUGAGUCUUCUCACCAUAUCCAUGGGUCGAAGGCACUAAUGUCGACCCAUUAGUUGUAUGGUAGACCCCGGGGUAGCCCAUGGAUAGUUAUGAGAGAGAGAGAGAGAGCGAGACAAUGUGGUGGGUUGCGGUGGGUGUGGGCCCUUUUCUUAUUUUUAAAUAACCAAAAUAACUAAUAAAUGGAAAAACUAAAUCAAAUAGGUAAGAAGUCUUUUCAAGUUUAUGACCAAAUCGACAAUGAAAGUAAGCCUGUUUGUACAGUACCAAAAGAAAAUGAAAAAUCCUUUUUUGCAAUUAUCUAUAAAGAUAAUAACGAAAGGUACGUAGUUUUGGCAUUUUAUAUAUUUACCUUCCAAUUCCUUUUAUAAAUUUGCAAACCAACACAAUUUUUUCUUCUCUUAUUCUCAUCCCAUUACUUGUCAACCAAACACAUGUAAACUUAAAAUUCCUUCAUAUUCUAAUCGUGAUCAAAAUUCCUUUCUAAACAUUUCGCAAACCAAAUGUGCCCUUAGAAGUCACGAUCAAUUCACAUUUUGACAAGGGGAGCAAUAUUCAUCUGAAUUGAAGCCAAAAGAAGUUUGUUAAAGGGUGUUUGUAUAUCCAUUGAAAAUGACUAGUCGACUUGACAUAAAUAACCAUUUUUAAGAGUUCAACAAUAACUCAUUUUGAUUAUAAGAACCAAAUCGUGGAUGUAGGUAACGAAUUGCAUUAAACUAAUUAUUGAGAUUAAAGUAAAUUACAUUACUAACUCCCCAAAAAAUCUCAAGCAAAUUAUACAAAUUGAAGGCCCCAAAAAUCAAGGUAAGCUACUUGCUAGUAGCCUAGCUGCAAACUUAUUUCUAGAUUAAGUGUACUUGUAACAUCCCAAACUACCUUCCACAUCUAUCCGUACUUUCCUCAAGAACUGCCUCGACUCCACCAAGUCCCUUCUACUACUACUGUUGAUCUCAUGCUAAUCUCAUCCUAGGCUUGCCCUAGGUAAUCGCCAUCCCACUCUCUACCAUCAGCUGUACAAGAAGUUCCUGCUUUCUUCCCCUAACUAGCUCGCGGAUACUAUUACAUAUUACUCAAACUAGAUAAUUCUUCAAAUGAGAGGUCAUACCCUACAACGGUUGGACUCAGACAAGAGCUGCGAAAUUGGGCUAGACCAACCUUCUGGAAUUAUUUAGUCCUUGCAAUAUCUAACUUAGCAUAUUCGUUUACUAGUUAGUGAAAGACAACUAGAACUCCUAAAAGCACAUAGCAAGCAACAUUCGGGCAUUGAGUACACAUAAUCAAGUAUAUACUACUCUGGCUAUCAUACUGACUGAUCUGUACUAGCAUACAAUGCUAAUCUCAUACUAUCAGGCAUAACUUAAACAUGUUAUCCCACUACUGUCUACUCAAUACUAGCAUGCAAUUCUUAUAAAUCUGAAGCACAUAAAGUAGGCACAUAAGGCAUCAUUCCUAGAUCCUUAGUCCUAUUCUAGCAUGCUGUUCUACUGAAACUGAAACUAAUAAUCAUAACAUAACUUGUAUGGGUACUUUGGGGAAAACUUACUUGAGCUCGGCUGGUCGCGCGCAUCACACAUUUUCUCAAAACUCUUUUACUUAUCCUUUAGAAAUUCAUUUCUUUAUAAAAAUCUUUUAAUCCCUCGAUUUGAGUCCAGACAUCCCCCCGAAGGUGUGUCCGAAUCCCUCAAACCAGGGCUCUGAUACCAACUUGUAACAUCCCAAAAAUACAGGCCAAAAAUUUCAUUUUUAAAUCAAUGCUUUGGAAAAACAUUUGUGAAUAAACAUCGCCUGAUCAUAUCAUUUCAUAAACAUAUUUCAUGUCUGAAAUCCAACAUAUAAAAACAACCAUAAUGUCAGAGUACAAAAUCCCAGAAUAACUCAUGAUGCGGAAAACAAUGUGUGUGUAAGAUGUGCCGCUACCGCACCAGCUCCUUCCCCUUCGAUGAAGAGGUACCUGAAAAUAAAACUGUAAACUGUAAGCACAAAGCUUAGUGAGUUCCCCCAUCGUCCACAUACCAUACAAUAAUAUAGCAUACAUUUUGCCAGGCAUUUCUGGGGUGCCCAACCUACCCGGUACGGCCAUUCUGGGGUGCCGACCUACCCGUACGGCCAUUCUGGGGUGCCGAUAUACCCAUGCGGCCAUUCUNNNNNNNNNNNNNNNNNNNNNNNNNNNNNNNNNNNNNNNNNNNNNNNNNNNNNNNNNNNNNNNNNNNNNNNNNNNNNNNNNNNNNNNNNNNNNNNNNNNNNNNNNNNNNNNNNNNNNNNNNNNNNNNNNNNNNNNNNNNNNNNNNNNNNNNNNNNNNNNNNNNNNNNNNNNNNNNNNNNNNNNNNNNNNNNNNNNNNNNNNNNNNNNNNNNNNNNNNNNNNNNNNNNNNNNNNNNNNNNNNNNNNNNNNNNNNNNNNNNNNNNNNNNNNNNNNNNNNNNNNNNNNNNNNNNNNNNNNNNNNNNNNNNNNNNNNNNNNNNNNNNNNNNNNNNNNNNNNNNNNNNNNNNNNNNNNNNNNNNNNNNNNNNNNNNNNNNNNNNNNNNNNNNNNNNNNNNNNNNNNNNNNNNNNNNNNNNNNNNNNNNNNCAUACAACUCCUACUGGUGGGCCGGCAUUGUGGCCGUAGACCCACCGCUACUGGAAGGUAACUCACCUCGUAGUAACUGCUGAUCUGUGCGGGAACUCUCUGUCUGCUGCUGCUGCUGCUCCGGAAAUCCUCCGUCUAUAAAUCCCACAAAACACCCUAUCAGAGUCUGAUAUCUACUCUUUGGGUAAAAUGACCAUUUUACCCCUGAUCAAGUCAAGUCAAAGUCAAAGUCAACUUUCAGUUGACCUGACUCGCCGAGUUGGGCCUCCAACUCGUCGAGUCCCUAACCAAUCGAUUGUCCUUACUCCCGUCCCUACUCGUCGAGUAUGGCAUUGACUCGACGAGUUCUCCUUCUAUUCAAAUGUCCAAUGAUCCUUCAUCCGACUCGCCGAGUUGUAUGAACAACUCGUCGAGUUCAUCUUAUCCGAUGAACACUCUAGUCUGGACUCGCCGAGUUGUAUGAACAACUCGUCGAGUCUGUUCUUGAGGCAAGAAGAUUGCAUUGGACUUGCCGAGUCAGGGCAUUGACUCGCUGAGAACCUGCAUUGCUGAGUCUGGCUUCCGAUUCACUGAGUCCACUUAUAACUCACUGAUCCCACUCGGCAUAACUCAAAAGGGGAAAAUCGGGGACUCGUGACUCGACUCGCCGAGUCCGAAGAACGACUUGCCGAGUCGUAUACAUGUAAUCACUAUAUACUCGAUUCUGCUUGAAUCCAGUUCAUUCCAUUCAUAGAUCUAGGUUCUUAGGGUUCGUUUAACACGUAAAGUUUCGCACUUUACGUGUAUAUAAGCAUCAAUGAAGGUUAAAAGGCUCAAAAUGCACUAAAAGAGUAGAUCUAGGGCUUUUCAUGCAAUAUGGCUCCAUAAAGGUAUUAGAUCUGAGCUCCUAGAGCUCAAUCAUGCCUAGAUUUGAAGUCCCUUAACAUUAUAAGCUUAUUACACAAAGAUCAAGACUCAAAGAGGCCUCAAAGUGACUAUUUUAAGCUCUUAAUGAGAUAAUAAUGAAGGAACAGAAAGGGUUUUCGAGUUAUACCUCACUUAACUCUGAAAUGGACUCAAAGCCUUUGCUCUUCUCCUUCUUCUUUAGUCCUUCCUUCCUUCUCUUCUACAAAGCUUCAAGAAAAUCACACAAAAGCACUCAAAUCACCAAAGGAAGGGUUAGGGUUUCGUGAGGGACACUCUGGUUGUGAAUGGGGGCCGACAUGGGGCACAUAAGGAUGUUUAAAUAGAGUGCAAACCCUUGAAAUUAUGGUUUCAUCCAGACUGGAGGAGUCGCCGAGUCCAGAAUAUGAACUCGUCGAGUCGCCAACUUAAACGUGCUCAAUAUCCCGUCUCUACUCCGCGAGUCGGGCCUACAACUCGUCCGGUCCAAGGCUAAAAAUGCAAAAUACUUAGAUCAAUCUUAUGUACCAGGAACCAGGUGCUACAAAUCUCCCCCACUUAUUUUAGACUUCGUCCUCGAAGUCUGCCUCUCGCUCCGGGAAAAGCUCGGGAUAGUGUUCCUUCAUCUCUUCUACCUGCUCCCAAGUCCACUCUGAACCCUUCCGGUGCUGCCAUUGCACCUUUACUAGCUCCACCUUCUUGUUCCUUAGAUUCUUCGUCUUCCGAUCGAGGAUCGCUACUGGUCGCUCAAUGUAGUUCAGGCUGUCAUCAACCUGAAUAUCCUUCAUCUUCCGAUCGAGGAUCNNNNNNNNNUCCACUAGGCACUUCCGCAGCUGGGAGACGUGGAAGGUGAUGUGGAUCUGACUAAGUUCGGCUGGCAGAUCCAGCUUGUACGCUACCUUGCCCAACUUUCCCCGUUUCCUAAAUCGGAUGUCACCCUUCCAUGGCGACACCUUCAGGAGAACCAUAUCCCCGACCUGGAACUCCAGGUCUGAUCGGCGCUUGUCGGCAUAACUUUUCUGUCGACUCUGUGCAGUCUGAAGCCUGCUCCGAAUCUGCUGAAUCCUCUCGGUCGUCUUGAGCACCACUUCGGUGCUCCCCAUGACCCUCUGGCCUACCUCACCCCAACAUAUCGGGGUCCUGCACCUCCUCCCGUACAACAUCUCGAAGGGAGGACGGUCAAUACUCGCGUGGUAGCUAUUGUUGUAUGAAAACUCAGCUAGAGGAAGAUAGGUAUCCCAGCUACCACCGAAGUCUAGCACGCACGCCCGCAACAUAUCCUCCAAAGUCUGGAUGGUCCGCUCACUAUAACCAUCGGUCUGCGGGUGAAAAGCGGUGCUAAAAUGCAGACGAGUACCCAGCUCUUCAUGGAACUUCUUCCAAAUCCUAGAAGUAAACCGUACAUCUCUGUCUGAAAUCACGGAGACUGGCACUCCGUUCCGCGCCACCACCUCUCCGAUCUAGAUAUCGGCUAACUUCUCUGCCAAGAUACUCUCCUGGAUCGGGAUGAAGUGGGCGCUCUUGGUCAACCGAUCCACGAUGACCCAUAUAAAAUCCACUCCCCGUGUGGUCCUUGGAAGCUUGGUGAUAAAAUCCAUCGUGAUGUCUUCCCAUUUCCACAGUGGGAUAUCCAACGGCUGCAUCUUGCCGUGUGGACGCUGGUGCUCGAACUUGACCUUCCUGCAGGUCAAGCACCGCUCAACGUACCAUGCUACAUCCCGCUUCAUGCAGGGCCACAAAUAGUCCAGACGAAGAUCCCUAUACAUCUUCAUUGCCCCUGGAUGAAUGGAAAAUCGGGAUUUGUGCGCCUCCUCCAUCAGAACCUGGCGCACGCCUCCGAGGUAUGGAACCCACACCCUGCGGUGUAAUGUCAAUAAUCCUCUGUUGUCAUAGUCGAAGGAGGAAACCUGACCCACUAUACGCUCACUCUUCCGAUGUUCCUCCUUCAUGGCCUCCUGAAUCCGCUACAAAAGUGGAGUCACCACUUUCAUCCGCAUGCAGAUACCUCUGAUCAGCACCGCCUUGCGGCUAAGCGCAUCAGCCACCACGUUACCUUCCCCGGAUGGUAGAGGAUCUUGCAAUCAUAAUCCUUUACCACAUCAAGCCACGGACGCUACCUCAUGUUCAGAUUUGGCUGGUCCAUGAGAUACCUCAAACUCUUAUGGUCCGUAUCGUACAACGGACCCCAUAGAGGUAAUGACGCCAAAUCUUGAGGGCGAAUACAACAUCCCCCAACUCCAAAUCAUGCAUCGGGUAGUUCGCCUCGUGAGGCUUUAGCUGCCUCGACGCGUAGGCGAUGACAUGCCCUCUCUGCAUCAAUACUGCGCCCAAACCUGAGAUGGAUGCAUCGUAGUACACAACAAAAUCCUCCAUGCCCUCUGGCAGGGCUAAGAUUGGUGCCUCGCACAAUCUCUGUCUCAGAAUCUCGAACGCUGCCUGCUGCUCAGGCCCCCAACGAAAUACCACGACCUUCCUCGUUAGCCUGGUCAUGGGUAAUGCUAUCUUGGAGAAAUCCUGGAUGAGUCUCCGAUAGUAGCCAGCUAAUCCCAGGAAACUCUGAAUCUUAGAUGGAGACUUCGGAACCUCCCAUCUCAUCACGGCCUCUACCUUGGCCGGGUCUACCGAAAUCCCGUUCUGUUUGACAAGGUUCCCAAGAAACUACACCUCGCGCAACCAGAACUCACACUUGGAGAACUUGACAUACAAGUUCUCCCUCCUCAAAGUCUCUAGAACCUCUCACAGAUGCUCCUCGUGCUCCUCCUGUGUCUUGGAAUAAACCAAGAUAUCAUCAAUAAACACUAUUACAGACCGAUCUAACAUCGGUCUGCACACGCGGUUCAUGAGAUCCAUGAACGCGACAGGAGCAUUGGUGAGCCCGAAAGGCAUCACCACGAACUCAUAGUGGCCAUAACGCGUCCAAAACGCCGUCUUCUGUACAUCCUCCUCUAUGACCCUCAUCUGAUGAUACCCUGAACGCAAAUCAAUCUUGGAGAACCAAGAUGCUCCCUGUAGCUGGUCAAAGAGGUCGUCAAUCCUCGGGAGUGGGUAACGGUUCUUCUCCGUUACCUUAUUCAGCUCCCUAUAGUCUAUACACAUACGAUGCGACCCGUCCUUCUUCUUCACAAAAAGAAUCGGGGCUCCCCAAGGCGAAUUACUCGGCCUGAUAAAUCCCUUGUCUAGCAGCUCCUUCAGCUGCGUAGACAACUCCUGCAUCUCGGGAGGAGCCAACCGAUAUGGUGCCUUGGCUAUCGGAGCCUCACCAGGGACCAGGUCGAUCCUGAAGUCCACCUGUCGCUCCGGAGGUAUCCCUGGCAACUCCUCGGGGAAUACAUCCGCAAACUCUCGUACCACGGGCACAUCGCCCACCGUCGCCCUACCCGUCUCCCGGGUACCCAUAAUAUACGUGACAUAUCAUGUGCAACCCUGCUGAAGGUAAUGCCUAGCUCUCGUUGUUGAACACAAAGAUGGUCCUUGCUGUGGCCUCUCGCCCUGAAUCACUAACUCUCCCCCACCUGGGGUCCUGACUCGCACUAGCUGUUGUGCGCAAUCUAUCACUGCCCCAUUAGGGCUGAGCCAAUCCAUGCCUAUAAUCACCUUGUUCCCACGUAAUGGAAUGGGAACCACGUCUACCAAGUAGCGCUCCUCAAAUAACCUCAGCACACAGUCUCGGAAGACCUCAGAUGCUCGCACUGACCGAUCAUCUGCAAUCUCGACCUCUAGAGGGCAAUCCAACAUGCCCGAAGACUCAAAAAACUUCUUGCUAAGCGCAAGAGAAAAAAAUGAUCAGGUAGCACCCGAAUCAAACAAUACAUGAACUGGGAUACCGUUCACAUGGAGUGAUCCUAAACAGAGAACAUAUCAAUAUCAUAAAUAAAUCAGAGGGAAAGAAUCGUACCCGUCACCACAUCGGGUGCGGUGCGUGCCUCCUCGGUCGUCAACUGAAAAUCCCGACUCCUCACCACUGGAGCCUCUGCCUUGCCCUACCUGUCAUCUGUAAUCCGCAGGGUCGUUGGGGCUGGCGCCUUCACUGGCGCUGCUGCUGUCAACUGGGGGCAAUUAGCCUUCUUGUGGCCCCUCUGGUUUCAGUGGAAACACAUCAACUCUGACGUCUGUAACACAGGUGCAAGGGCGGUACAAUCCCUGCUGAAGUGCCCUGUCUUGCCGCAUUUAUAGCAGCCCUACGAUCCCAACCUACAUGCCCCCUGAUGUGGCCUGCCGCAUUUCCUGCAGCGGCCUGAUCCUGUCUGGCCUUUCGGCCUACCAUCUGAUCCCUUGGGCUUCUUCCCCGAAACCCCUAUCGUCUGUCCCUCCUCUGUCUUCCUAUUCUGGAUGUGCUCCGGAUCUAUCUCCCUCUCCCUCGCCCUGGAAAUCAUAGAAUCCAGGGUAGGGCAAGCUGAAAAACUGACAUGCUCCCGAAUGUCGGCUUGCAGCUUGUCGUGGUAGCGGGUCCUCCUCAUAUCCUCGUCACCCGCAUACUGGGGCACCAAUAACGCCCUCUCCCAGAACUUGGUGGUGAUCUCCGCCACUGUCUCCGUCAUCUGUCUCAUGUCCAAAAACUCUCUGGCUAACUACUGGAGCUCCACCGCAGGUGCGAACUCCGCUCUGAACCGGGUCACAAAGUCCGGCCAUGUCAUAGCCUCAACAGCCGAGGCUCCCAAUGAGUCACCAACAGACUCCCACCAGUCUCUAGCUCUGUCUCUCAAACACCCUGCUGCAUAUCUCACCUUCGACCCCUCGGGGCAGAAGCUGAUCAACUGCGCAGACUCAAUGUCUGCGAUCCAUCAUCUGGCCACAAUGGGGUCCUUCGCACCAUGGAAAUCCGUCGCAACACUGCUCCUGAAGUCCUUGAAGGACAGUGUGCGAGAUCUUGACUGGCCAGAUGCCAUGUCACUCCUGAACGCCCUGAGGCGGUCCUCCAUCAGCUCCACUAUCCCUUCCUUGAUCGACCCGAAAAUGAUUGGUGUCGACUCAAGGAUGCCUCUGGUGAUCUCUGACGCGAUGAACUCGCGUAGCCUCUCAACCACUGGUUCGGAACCUGAACCCGAACCCGAUCUCUCUCCCAAACUACCAACUGCUGGCCUCGAACGUAGUACCACCAUUCUGCAAUACAUAACGACAACUGUCAGUGGUACUGAUACAUCUAGAGGGAUCACAUCUACUGCAAGGUUCCUGGUCUCGCCUCAGCCUUCCUCAAUUAAAGUACGGAUCCUCUGCUUCCAGUGGUACGUGCCCAUACUACCUUCCACAAUUAUCCGUACUUUCCUCAAGAACUGCCUCGACUCCACCAAGUCCCUUCUACUACUACUGCUGAUCUCAUGCUAAUCUCAUCCUAGGCUUGCCCUAGGUAAUCGCCAUCCCACUCUCUGCCAUCAGCUGCACAAGAAGUUCCUGCUUUCUUCCCCUAACUAGCUCGCGGAUACUAUUACAUAUUACUCAGACUAGAUAAUUCUUCGGAUGAGAGGUCCUACUCUACAACGGUUGGACUCAGACAAGAGCUGCGAAAUUGGGCUAGACCCAACCUUCUGGAAUUAUUUAGUCCUUGCAAUAUGUAACUUAGCAUAUUCGUUUACUAGUUAGUGAAAGACAACUAGAACUCCUAAAAGCACAUAGCAAGCAACAUUCGGGCAUUGAGUACACAUAAUCAAGUAUAUACUACUCUGGCUAUCGUACUGACUAUCUGUACUAGCAUACAAUGCUAAUCUCAUACUAUCAGGCAUAACCUAAACAUGCUAUCCCACUACUGUCUACUCAAUACUAGCAUGCAAUUCUUAUAAAUCUAAAGCACAUAAAGUAGGCAUAUAAGGCAUCAUUCCUAGAUCCUUAGUCCUAUUCUAGCAUGCUGUUCUACUGAAACUGAAACUGAUAAUCAUAACAUAACUUGUAUGGGUACUUUGGGGAAAACUUACUUGAGCUCGGCUGGUCGCGCGCAUCACACACUUCGUUUUUUCUCAAAACUCUUUUACUUAUCCUUUAGAAAUUCAUUUAUUUAUAAAAAUCUUUUAAUCCCUCGAUUUGAGUCCAGACAUCCCCCCGAAGGUGUGUCCGAAUCCCUCAAACCAGGGAUCUGAUACCAACUUGUAACAUCCCAAAAAUACAGGCCAAAAAUUUCAUUUUUAAAUCAAUGCUUUGGAAAAACAUUUGUGAAUAAACAUCGCCUGAUCAUAUAAUUUCAUAAACAUAUUUCAUGUCUGAAAUCCAACAUAUAAAAACAACCAUAAUGUCAGAGUACAAAAUCCCAGAAUAACUCAUGAUGCGGAAAACAAUGUGUGUGUAAGAUGUGUCGCUACCGCGCCAACUCUUUCCCCUUCGAUGAAGAGGUACCUGAAAAUAAAACUAUAAACUGUAAGCACAAAGCUUAGUGAGUUCCCCCAUCAUCCACAUACCAUACAAUCAUAUAGCAUACAUUCUGCCAGGCAUUUCUGGGGUGCCCAACCUACCCGGUACGGCCAUUCUGGGGUGCCGACCUACCCGUACGGCCAUUCUGGGGUGCCGAUCUACCCAUGCGGCCAUUCUGGGGUGUCGUCCUACCCGUGUCAAGCCAUUCUGGGGUGCUGAUUUACCCAUGUCGAGCCAUUCUGGGGUGUUGACUACCCUUCGGUUCUAACAACCGAACCUCAGGGACUAUUUCACCCUUACUACUACUAUCACAUAUAUCAUAUGAUAAUCUAUUGUCAGACAUAUCUGGGGUGUCCGACCUACCCUUCGCUCCUAACAACCGAAUCUCGGGGACUAUUCCCCCUCCUACUACCUCUAUCUCAUAUAACUUAUCAUGCUAGCUGCUAAACAUAUCAUAACAUACUGUUAGGCAUAUCUGGGGUGCCUAACCUACCCUUCGGUCCUAACAACUGAACUCUAUCACUAUCACAUAUCAUAUCACGCUAGCAUAUAACAUAUCAGGUAGUAGCAACACAGAUGAAUAUCACAAAGACAAACAUCUAUCAUACGAUCCCUACUGGUGGGCCGGCAUUGUGGCCGUAGACCCACCGCUACUGGAAGGGAACUCACCUCGUAGUAACUGCUGAUAUGUGCGGGAACUCUCUGUCUGCUGCUGCUGCUCUGGAAAUCCUCCGUCUAUAAAUCCCACAAAACACCCUAUCAGAGUCUGAUAUCUACUCUUUGGGUAAAAUGACCAUUUUACCCCUGAUCAAGUCAAGUCAAAGUCAAAGUCAACUUUCAGUUGACCUGACUCGCCGAGUUGGGCCUCCAACUCGUCGAGUCCCUAACCAAUCGAUUGUCCUUACUCCCGUCCCUACUCGUCGAGUUUGGCAUUGACUCGACGAGUUCUCCUUCUAUUCAAAUGUCCAAUGAUCCUUCAUCCGACUCGCCGAGUUGUAUGAACAACUCAUCGAGUUCAUCUUCAUCCGAUGAACACUCUGGUCUGGACUCGCCGAGUCCCUGCAUUGCUAAGUCUGGCUUCCGAUUCACUGAGUCCACUUAUAACUCACUGAUCCCACUCGACAUAACUCAAAAGGGGAAAAUCGGGGACUCGCGACUCGACUCGUCGAGUCCGAAGAACAACUCGCCGAGUCGUAUACAUGCAAUCACUAUAACUCGAUUCUGAUUGAAUCCAGUUCAUUCCAUUCAUAGAUCUAGGUUCUUAGGGCUCGUUUAACACGUAAAGUUUCCAACUUUACGUGUAUAUAAGCAUCAAUGAAGGUUAAAAGGCUCAAAAUGCACUAAAAGAGUAGAUCUAGGGCUUUUCAUGCAAUAUGGCUCCAUAAAGGUAUUAGAUCUGAGCUCCUAGAGCUCAAUCAUGCCUAGAUUUGAAGUCGCUUAACAUUAUAAGCUUAUUACUCAAAGAUCAAGACUCGAAGAGGCCUCAAAGUGACUAUUUUAAGCUCUUAAUGAGAUAAUAAUGAAGGAACAGAAAGGGUUUUCGAGUUAUACCUCACUUAACUCUGAAAUGGACUCAAAGCCUUUGCUCUUCUCCUUCUUCUUUGGUCCUUCCUUCCUUAUCUUCUACAAAGCUUCAAGAAAAUCACACAAAAGCACUCAAAUCACCAAAGGAAGGGUUAGGGUUUCGUGAGGGACACUCUGGUUGUGAAUGGGGGCCGACAUGGGGGCACAUAAGGAUGUUUAAAUAGGUUGCAAACCCUUGAAAUUAGGGUUUCAUCCAGACUGACGGACUCGUCGAGUCCAGAAUAUGGACUCGUUGAGUCGCCAACUUAAACGUGCUCAAUAUCCCGUCUCUACUCGGCAAGUCGGGCCUACAACUCGCCGACUCCAAGGCUAAAAAUGCAAAAUACUUAGAUCAAUCUUACGUAAGUGCUACAGUACUGACUGUCUUGAUUUCAAGUAAAGCACAAACUUGAGGCUCGUAGAAGAAAUAAUAGGCUGAGAUGUUUUUGAGAUAAAUUGCAGUAACCAAACUUAGAUAUUUAUGCAAUGUUUAAAAUAUAGACAUGUUUCAGAUAGUCAAGAAAUAAGUGUCGGACAGAAACUUCAAAAUUAUUAUGUUUUACCAUUAAACUCAACCGAAACAGAAGGAUUACAAACACACCAAGGAGGCAGCAGGUGAAACUGUUGACCCUUUUUGCCGAGUGAUUCUCUACCUUCAUAAAUUGAAUGAGAAUAAUCAUUAAAUUUAAGAAAUCAACACUACGUUUAUCUGUUUGAAAAUAAAAGAAGCUUUGCAUAACAUAUGAUCAAAGAAUUAGAAAGAAUAAUCCAUAAAAAUUCAGUUUGAAAAGCAUUCGUUUUUUACUUACCUGGAAAAGUAAGAAGCGAAUGACCUAGAAAAGAAGCCCAAACUAUGCAAGAAGAUUAAAUUAAAUAAAUAUCAUGAACCACCUAAAAACUCAAACCAUUGACGUUUUGGGGAAAGUAAAGUCUAAGCAAGAAAAACAGAGCCUUCAAAAUUCUGCGAAUUCAAUUCAUUGUAGGUAGAGUAUAAUAGAGAAAUAAAAUAAAUAAAUAAAUAAAUAAGUGAAAAAUGCCAAAAGCAAUCGAUUACAACUAUUAUGUGGGAAACAUGGAUCGCUUAAUUGAAAUUACUAUUUAAACCAAAUGUACUAAAAAAACGAAAAAAAUAAAAUCAUUAAGUUGUUGAAGCCAUAGCCGAGUCAGCAAAAGAAUGUCUUUCAGUUCAUGUUUUUUUCUUUACACCAAGUAACCACUCCAAAGAACAGAUUUAACAAAAAAGCAACUAAAUAUAGCAAUUGCUUGGGUUAACAAAUCAUUAAACUGGAGGGGGUUAUGAAAUUACUAGAAAAUAGUUCAAUAGCCUUAAUUAGAAGAAUAAUCAAGUGAGUAUCACAACAAGUCUAUUCAAUCAGAUAAUGGACGAAGGAAAGAGGUGCACUAGAAGCAAAGCUAAGGCAUGAACCCUGGUAAAUGUAACUUUACCUAUGCUAUAUAGCUGACUUCAAAAUAAGCCAAACUGCACGUGUGAAUUCAAAUGUUCCUCUAGAACUGCCAUCCUUGUAGGAGAUUACAACAAAGUGGUAAAAUAGAGAGUAAUGUAAAGUUUUUGUUGGAAAAAACAUUAAUCUUUUAAUAAAUAACCAAAGGAGACACCACAUACCUCUUGUUGUUUGUUCUUUAUAAACGAUCCAAAAGUUGUAUCUAUGAACUUCAGCUCCGGAGUAGUUGACUGUUUGUGAAAACUGUUAUUUCCGGACAAUCUUUGAUUUCCAAAGCAGUUAACGAUGGCCAUUCAAAAGCCUCCUUCCCCAGGCAAAAUCCCUUGAGAUUUGGAAGCUUUUCAAGUGUUAUGGAUUUCAGACAAGGGAACACAACCUCAAGUAGUCGGUCUGGUUUCAGAAUCUUCAACUUGCUUCACAAUCACAUCCAUACUCUCGCAGUCAGUUAUUUGUAGCUCUUGGAGCCGCAAUAGACUACCAACCAUGCAACCUGUGAAAACGUGUCCAAGAAGUGGACAUUUAUUAAUUGAGACCUUUGUAAGGUUUGGAAAGUUCAACACUAUCCUCCGAUUGCGCUUCCACAUAUGCUUCAGAUUAUCUAUUCCACUCAAAGUCACCUCUUUUAGCUUCUCAAAUACCACAACACCUUUAUUUGUCCCUUCUUCAAAAUCCACAUCUUCAUUUGUCCCUUCUUCUACUUCAAAUACCUCCUCUGUUACAGAGUAAUACUCACCAUAGUAAGACGGGACUACAGUAAUUGAAACCUUUUCAAGAUUCUUCAAAUUAUGCAACUCGUUGCAUGGGAAAAUUAUGCGGCAUAACCACAAAUUAAUAUCAUCCUCCUGUUCAGCUACUUCAACCAAAUUUGAAAAAGACCAAGGGAACUGAAGUAGGUGUAAAGGGUUCAUAUAUAUAGGGUUGAGUGUGCUAAGAAAAAACAAACAUAAAUCACCACAAACACCAUAAUUAUAAAGGACAAAUACAUUUAGUAUAUAAACAUAUUAAAAGAUUGUAAGUUAUAUUAUUCUUUUCUGAACCAAAAUGUAUUAGAAAUCGACAGCCUAGCUAGUCUAUGACACUACCUACAUUAGUUCUUUUUUUUUGUGUGUCAAAAUGAGCAAUUAAUGUGACGAAUAGGGUUCAAAGAAUUAAGAUUUAUAUAUCGUAUUAUUACUAUUUAUAUUUUUAUUGCAUACUAAAAUAUAGCAAGAGAUAUAUGGAUGUUAUAUUUAUACUUUUACAACAAUCUCAUCUACAGAGUUUUACUCAAAUUUUAGUUAAUUCAAGCUACAUAUAUUGUUAGUUUGGAAAAGACUACCAGAGAAAAGAACAACUUGAUUAAGUAACUACUAGCAUCACAAUAGUUAUUAAUGAUUUGUGUUAGGUAAGUUAAUUAAACUGGGUGAAAAUAAAUGAGUUAAUUACAAAUUAUUGUUGCAUAAUUAUUGAUUUAGGAAAAGGACGAAUUGAUUACAAUAGAACCAUUUCUAGCUAUGUAAUUUUAAAAUGAUUUAAAUCAGAAUAAACUUGCCAAAUAUCUUUUAUAAUACAUAAGAAAAUAAUCUUUUUAUAUUCAUGUAUUUAAUCUAAAUGGUGUUUAACUUGUUACAUCUUCUAUUUUAGGAAACUUAACUAUUAUGUGCUCAAAAUUCAAAAUGGUUUGAUAAUUGAGUUGAAAUUUUUAUUAUACUUUAGAGCAUACAAAAUACUAAAGGUUCAUAGCAUGUCACGCCCUUUUAUAUCUAUUGUACAUAAUUCGUUUUAUAAAUUUAUCGUCACUAUCCGUUAUCCGAUGGAUAUCAUGAUAUUUAUUUAUUUGUUUAAUCCAUAUUUUUUGUAUUAUAUUAUGUAGACAAAAAAAGUUUUACUUUAUUUAUAUUGUAAUAAAGUUAAAAAUAUCAUAAUAUUAUCAAUAAUAUUUAAAAUUUGUACCAUUUUAUGAACUUGUUAAUGAUUUAGUUUAUUCACGAAAAUUUUAGAAAUCCUUUUUUUUCUUAGGUUCUCAUUUUGUACAUGCCCUCCCUUGAAUAGUUGUUAUUCCAAGCCAUUAGUAAUUAAGUGUUUGUUUUUCUACAAAUGAAUUUUUUUUUCAAUAUACAAAAAGUAUAUUGAAAUGUUUCCACUCUCUUAAGGUUCUGUUUAAGUUUAAAAAUUAGAUUAUAUUUUAAAUAAAUAAUUACAUGUAUCGUACGGUACCUUCUUAUAGCAAGUACUGCUAUACGAGCUCGAACCCCCACGAUUCACAGUUGUUUGCUUUUCACGGAUUUUUUUGUUCCUUUCUGAAGCAAUUUUGUGUUCGUCAGUUUGAAAAUACUCAACUGUCUUCUCCCAGUUAUCAACAAGCAUAGCAUCCGGAGGAUUUGCCAAUGCUCUCGGGAUAUCUUCAUACCCUCCGACCUUCUUGAAAUAUUCUUUUGCGUCGGCUUUACGCUCUCAAAAACCUUUUAACAAGGCUGCUUGAAAACUCUCUGUCAAUAGAGUAGCUUGUGCAUCCUGGUACAUUUGAUUGAGAUCAAACUUUGUCUACAAUAUAAAAAAAAGUUAACCAAGUAAAAAACAAUUAUAGUUAAACCUAUAAAAUAUAUUUAAAUAAAUAAUUACCGCUAAAUGUUAUAAUAUAGUGUCCUUUAUAUCAGGGGAAACUCUUUUCCAACUCCAUUUGUCGAAAGGGACCAUCUGCCACAUUGUUUUCCCAACUUCUCGGGAAAACAUGUCUCCCGCCUCUCCUACGGGAUUAAAUGUGAUAUCCCUAUCAAAUUGCAUGGCUAUUGGUUUCCCCUGGUUCUGCAAGAUUGCUUUUUCAAGCUUUAUAUUUUUUGCUUUUCCUCGAGCUUUCCUUCGGGCACGUCCCUCAACUACAAAUGUAAUUAAAAAUUAUUAGAAACGACAUUUAAUUUAUGAUAAUUGAACAAAAAUAGUAAAUAAAAAUUCAUGAUAAGACUUACCGUCCAGCUCGUGCUGGCCAGGACCUCUACCACCUGGGAAAGGUGGGUCCUCAGCUCCGUCUCCCCCAUGUCCACGACCCAUGACAGCAGCCAUGGUAAACAUAAACAACAGCCACACUCUCAUCAUUUCCUGAAAAAUUAUAAGAUAUACAAAUACAAUUUUUAUUAUAGAUACACAUUACAUAGAAAUAAACAUUUAGAUAGGAAUAAACAUUUAGAUAGGAAUAAACAUUUCCAUUUAAACUAGAAAUCCAAAUACAGUUCAUAUUACAAACACAUAUUACAAAUACAUAUUACAUAAGAACUAUUCUAAUCAGAAUCUUCCUCAUAUCCUUCAGUGUCUUCUUCGGUAUCAUAGUCAGAAUCGGUGUCAUCGUAAUCAGUAUCGCAAUCAGAAACAUCAUUGACUCUACCAGUUGGCGGAGGAACUUCAGAUGCACUUUCUACAUCAACAAUGACUCUAGGAAUGUUUUGAAAGUACAUGCUGAAAUCGAUAAAAAGCGGAGCAUCGGAUGAAGAGAUAUUUUGAAGUACAUCGACAUCGUCUACAUUUUCGUGUGAGACAUUGUCAACAUUUUGAACAAGGUCAUCGUUCGAUGGUAGAUCCCAAAUACUUCGAUGAUUAACAUGCUCGACAACACACCGAUGGUUAUUGUUUGGCUCUCUGAUGUAGAACACUUGUUUGGCUUGUGACGCAUAUAUGAGUUGAUCAUCUUUGUAUGCUUCGCGUCGUGUGUCGAUACUGGUGAAACUAUCACUAGAAAUAACUCCUGUUCGAGUAUCAAACCACUUGCAACGAAAUAGUACAGUUGAAUAAUCAUGUGUAUACCUCAACUCUAUAAUCUCUUCUAACUGGCCAUAAUACUUCUCGCCUUUCUCACCCACCGCUAAAACCCCAGAGUUUUGUGUUGUACGUUGUGUGUCACGACUAAGUACCAUAAACCUAACACCAUUGACUAUGCAUGCGGUGUAAGAAUAGGCAUUCAUUUGCGGGCCCAUUGCAAGAACCGACAACUCUUCGUGGAAUUCUGGAGAUUUUUCUAUUUUCAUUUGAUGAACCUAACAAUUAUAAAUUAAUAUGUAUUAUGUAUUCGUUAGAUCAAUGAAACAAAUUUGUUUAUUAAUUUAUAUUACCUUUUCACGAAACCAAUUACGAAAUUCUCUCUUUUCAUCACUUUGGGGAUGCUCAGAUUUGAAUUUCCUAUGUUGAUGACCAAAAGAUAUAGAUUUAAAAAGAUAAAAUAAAAAAUUAAGAAUGAAAGUUAGAGAUAAGAUUAAUUACUUGAUAUACUGUCUGACUUCUUCACAGCUAUUCAAUACAAACCAUUCCAUGUUAUGCAUUUCCGUUAAAUUAAGAGUUUUGAUUUGAGUUGUGCUGGUCGGUCGACAUUUAGACUCAAACAUCCAAAACUUUGUUUUUUCAAUGACAAUAUCUACAUUUCUUUCCGGACGAUUCUUUACAUCUCGAAGGUACAUUGAACAAAAUGAUAAAGCUUCUUCAGCAACAUAACCCUCAGCUAUAGAACCUUCUGGCUUCGCCUUGUUUCUGACAUAGUUUUUUAGUUUUUUCAUAUAUCUCUCGAAUGGAAACAUCCAUCUCAUACAAACCGGGCCUCCAGCAAUUGCUUCAUCAGGUAAAUGCAAAAGUAAAUGAACCAUAAUGUCAAAAAACGCCGGAGGAUAAAUCAAUUCUAACUUGCACAAGAUUGCAAUAAUGUCUACUUUUGCUUUCCUCAUAUCCUCCACCUUCAAUGUUCUGGAACAAAGUUGCUUGAAAAACGUACAAAGGUCUACAAUAGGUGUAUAAGUAUCUUUGUCUAACAACCCUCUUACUCCAAUCGGUAUCAAACGUUGAAUAAGAAUGUGGUGGUCAUGCGAUUUCAACCCAAUAAUGUUAGUAUUGGUAUCGUUCACUUUCUUACUAAUGUUAGAACCAAACCCAUCCGGCAGCUUAACCUCUUUUAUAAAUUGACAAAAGAGUUGUCGACUAGAUUUCGUGAAAGAGUAUCUUGCCUGGGGUCUAUGAAACUUGUCACCAUUUUUUUGCAACCAUUCAUUUCUCCGAAUGUUUAGAAUUCUCAAGUCCUCUCGUGCAUUUGAUGUGUCUUUGCUUUUAUCGUUCAUUAGGAGAGUACCUAACAAACUCUCGUCCACAUUUUUCUGGACAUGCAUGACAUCUAUGUUGUGUUUCAACUGUAGAGAAGACCAAUACUCGAGUUCGAAGAAAAUGCUUCGUUUCGACCAGUUCAACUCAUAAUCUUGCCGCUUUGGCUCCCCGCCUCCAUGCUCAGGAUGUUUACCCGGUUUACGAGUUAGUAGACGACCUAGUUGCUCUUGUAUGUCAUCAUUACUAAAGUGUCUCGGAGCGGGUCUUGUCUCUUCCAUCCCAUUAAAGUCCAACCUCUUUCUUAACGGAUCAUUAGCAUCUAGGAAACGACGAUGACCGAUAUAUACGACUUUGUUUGUUGCACGGUACGAAGGAGUGUCUUCAUUGCAAGUAGCACAUGCUCUAUACCCUUGCCCACUCCAACCCGAUAAACUACUACGAGCUGGCCAAUCGUUUAUUGUCCACAACAACAUAGCUCUCAUCGUGAAGAAUGUGUUUGUCGCCGCAUCUUUAAUACGUACGCCUGAGUUCCACAAAUGUUUAAGCUCUUCCACCAACGGUCUAAGGAAAACAUCCAUAUCCUUACCUGGAGCUUUCGGUCCUGGAAUCAACAAAGUCAACAUGAAUGAUGACUCUUUCAUACAAAGCCAGGGUGGCAGAUUGUAUGUGGUGAGUAUGACCGGCCAUGUGCUAUGUGGAUUACACAUGUUUCCAAAUGGAUUGAAACCGUCAGCUGAAAGACCUAGGCGUACGUUACGGGGUUCACUCGAGAAGUCGGGGUAUUUUUUAUCAAAAUCUUGCCAAUGUUCCCCAUCAACAGGAUGAAUCAUCACACCAUCUUCUGAACGUCUGGUACUAUGCCAAAUCAUAUUUUUGGCAGUGUGCCUCGAACAAUAUAAACGUCGUAGUCUAGGGGUCACAGGAAAGUACCGUAACACCUUAUGAGGUACUUUCUUACCCUUGGUGUUUUUAUCGAUCCAUCGGCUCUCUUUACAAACGGGACAAACUUGCAAUGAAUCAUGUUCUUUCCAAAAGAGACAACAAUCGUUUUUACACACAUGUAUCGACUCAUACCCCAGGCCAAUAGACUUUAGUUUCUUUUUGGCUAGAUAAUGUGAAAGGGGAACCUUGUUGCCUUUGGGAAAUGCUAAUUGCAAGAGCUCAAGGAGUUGAUCAAAUGAACUAUCAGUCCAUUUGUUGUUCACCUUGAUAUGCAUUAACUUUGCUAGAAACUCAAGGGAAGAAAAGAUGCAACCAGUAUACAAUUGAGUUUCCAUUUCUUCCAACAACUGUGCAAAAUCAUCAUCCACACCGCUACCCCUUGUAUUCGAGGUUCCUUCAUCGAGGUUGGUAUCAUUUUCUCUCGACUCCCACAUCACAUCGUCGAUUAAAUCGGCCAUUUCGUUACUUGGCAAGACGACGGGAGGAAUAAAAGAUUCACCAUGAUAGAUCCAAAUUUUGUACGCCUUACUGAAACCAUUUAUAAAUAUAUGGCGUUCAACUACAGUCGGGUACUUGAAGUAACGGUUAUCACAUUUUUCACACGCACAUCUGAUUUUACCAUUACUAUCAAGGUGCAACUUCGACUUCUCAAUAAAAGCUUUGAGUCCUGCUUGGAACUCGGGAUGGUUUCGAUAUGGAUUAGUAGUCCAGCUUUUAUCAAUAGACAUGAUGUUGCUGAAACAUAAUUUUGGGUUUAGAGUUUAGUAUACAGAAUUAGCAUUGUUUUUUUUCAAUCCACAUUUUUUUUACAUCUAAAAUAAUACAAAAAUUAAGUAAUAAAAAAAUGAAAAAAAUAAAUUAAAAAUUUUUAUUUAUGCAUUUUUUUAAUUAAUUUUAAUUAAAAUUACUUGUAAGUUAGCUUGGGUAAAAACUAGAAGCUUUCUAGUUUUUGUAUAUAAGUUUUUAAACAAUUUUAUAGUUUUUUUUUUGUGUUUUUUUUUUCAAUUUAUAAAAAUAAUGUAUUUUUUUUUUCAAUUAUAGCAUCCUACUUAUACCAAAACCACAUAGUUUUACAUAAUACAUAAGAAGGUGAAAUUCACAUACUUUUACAUACAUAUACCACAUAUACACCAAAUACAAAUACACACAAAAUAACAUCCUAGUUAAACCAAAUACACAUAAUUUCACAUAUAUACAUAAUAACAUCCUAUUUAUACCAAAUACAAAAGUUUCACAAUCAUAUAUCACAUUUACAACAAACAUACAUACAUUCACAUACACACAAUAACAUUCUACUUAUAACAAAUACAUAUAAUUUCUACUAAUAUACCACAUAUACAUCAAACACACAUACAUUGGAAUAUAUAUACCAAAUUCACAUAUAUUCAAACAAAUACGGAAUAUACAAUUUAAUUUUUACAUAUGACAAUUUUCACAUAAUUUCACAUAUAAAUACAACUUAAAGCUAUACAACUAAUUGCAAUUAAAUAACCACAAACAAAAAAAUUGAAUAACUUGCUUCUAAUCCAAAACAACACCACCAAAAAUAAAGAAUAUGAGCAAUUUAUUAUCAUUCAAUCACUACAUAAAUCUACAAAUCGAAAUUCAUACAAAAUAAAAAUGAAAUCAUCAAAAAAAAACUUACCUUUCUUCAAGAAAUGGAGGUACCUAGAAAUUGAUCCCAAAGCUUUAGCCACACCUAGAGACACUUGCUUGGAACAAUGCUUCUAAUCCAAAACAACACCACCAAAAAUAAAGAAUAUGAGCAAUUUAUUAUCAUUCAAUCACUACAUAAAUCUACAAAUCGAAAUUCAUACAAAAUAAAAAUGAAAUCAUCAAAAAUAAACUUACCUUUCUUCAAGAAAUGGAGGUAGAAAUUGAUCCCAAAGCUUUAACCACACCUAGAGACACUUGCUUGGAACAAUGUGGGGAGAAAUUUGCUUGGAAGAAGCAGAUUGAAGAGGAAAUCGGCCAGAUGGUGAAGGAAAUUGGAAGCAAACAGAAAGGAAAAUGAAGAAGGGAGGUUAUCUGCGUGCGUUUUUUUUUUUUUAUCUGCGACAGGCAAUAUCGGCGACACCUUUAGCGGCGACGCUAGGGGCAUUACCGACGACAAUGAGUAAUAGCGGCGACAAACUGGAGGGAAGGGUACCACGUCAUUUUUAGCAGACUAUUAGCGGCGACUUUUUUUAACCUUUAGUGGCGACAUCAGUGUCGCCGGUAUUAGGUUAGACAGGCUAAGGCACCCCACCCAUUGGAUUAGAUAUCUCAUCGAACGGUUGAGAUGCAAUAGAGGGGGAAAGUGCGGAUUCGGGUGACAACCCUUUAGCGGCGACACUAUUAGCGGCGACAAGGGGCUUUACCGACGACUUUAGAUAAAGUUGCCGGUAAAGCCCCUUGUCGUCGGUAAUAGUGUCGCCGCUAAAGAGUAUAUUUCUUGUAGUGUCUCUAUAUUAAAGUAAACAAGAAUAAUUUUGAGAUAUAAAAAAAUUAAUAAUGUUCAAUAUUUUUAGAAAUAAUACAUAAUUUUUUUUUACAAAGCUAAGUUUAUAUAUAUUGAAAUAUUGCAGGUGUUAAUUGUAACCAAAUGGUGCAACUGAUAAAAUGGUUGUAGAUGAAAAUUAAAUGUUUUCUUAAUCAACAAGAUUAUGUGACCCUGACAUUAAAAUGAGUUUAAUUUGAAUCUUACAAAAAAAAAAAAAAUUGAACUUUUAAUUUGUAUGAGCCUUGAAAAACCCACCCAUAAUAAGUGUUGCAAUUGGCCGUUGUCUUUAGUUCAUCUAACUUAAUAUGGAAACUAACUUGGUUGACUUUUGUAAGAGUGAAUUUAACAUUAUUUUUAACAUUACAGACAAUUUAAUAUCGCAAGAGUAAACUAAUAAAUUAUAAUAAAAUAAAUUGCAAAUCUUCCUAAAUUUGGAUAAAAGAAAGGGAGGUGUUUAUGUAUUUGUAUUGUUUUCGUUUUGUGGAAUACACACAUGAACCACUUAAACUUGUAUGCAAAUAAUAUCUUUAACAUCAUAACAUGCUGACACGGUUACUUGAUUAACGUUGCAAGUAAAGUAACAACAUACCACAUGUGGAGCAUUGGUUAAAUGAAAGUUGAGGCCACAUUCAAGACUAUGCUUGCCUAUUCCUGUAUGUAUGUAUUUGAGCUUCGGAGCAUUGAAGUGACUAGAUGUGAAAUUCAUCAUUUGUGGGCAGCCAUAAAUCUCAACCUUUUCCAAUACUGGCCACGUGAACUUAUUCGUCCCCAAGAAGAAACCCUUUUGAGAUUUGGUAAAAAAACCCAAUGUAAAAGACUUGAGACGAGGGAAGACUAUAAUAGAUUUAGAUGUUUCUGUGUGCUCUCCAUCUUCCUUCACAAUCACUUGCAUUGCCAUGCAUUCUGCUACAAUCAAUUAUUGAGUUGAUUGAGGUUUUCAAGUGUGGAACUUGUGAAUAUAUAUUCCAAAACUUCACAUCUUUCUAUUUCAAUAUCGUUAGGUUGGCCAAUUCAAGCAGAGUCAUAUUUGCCGACCUUGGGAUGGUGAUUGCAGUACAAGUAUCAUCACUUCCAUCAUCAACAUUAGUAGUACUAUCAACACCAUCUUUGUUUAUUUCUUUACUUUCAAAUAUCUCCACCAUUGACUUACAUUCUGAUAUUGUCAGCUCUUCAAGCUUAUCGGUUGUCCCACUACAUACGUGCAAACACUCUUGAUAGGCCAUGACAAUCAAAUAUAAUAAUCUUUUUGGAGUAUUGGCAUAAGAACCAAGAAGCAACAAUACCUUGAGAACACUACAUUACAUGAAAAAUCAAUUAAGCUGAUUGAAUUAAAAAAGCUUAGUUGUUGGCUACACACAUGCAAAUUGCUUAUAUGUUCAAUUAUUAACACAACAUUUGCAUAUUAUAAAUGUGGUUACAAACACGAGAGGGGCUCCUCAUAUGACUAAGGUACUUAAGUAACAAUUUCGCCAAGAGAAAUUAAAAUUCAAAAUUAAUAUAGCACCAAGUUAUGAAGAGAAAGUUGCAUUUGAUAUUGUAUCCUAUUACCUCCUCAAAGUAGAAGGAUAAAAACAUAACUUUACUUUUAAAUUUAUUAUUAAAUACACAAUUUGCAAUCAAUAUAUUAAAAAACUUUACUUUUAAAUUUUUUAUUAGAAACAUAAUGUACAAUCAGUAAACUUAUACUUUCGUACUUGCAUUGAUUAAAUCAUCUUCUUUAUGUUUUAAAAAAUUUAACCAACAUAAAUGGUUAAUUUAGGACGCAAUGACAAAAUGGAGAACUUAGUGUAGAGAAUGUUAGCAUCUCAAUCACUAUUAAUAAUUGAUUUGUCAAAGUCUUCCAUCAUAUAUACAGAAGCCAAACAAUAUCAGAAAGAUUAUAUUACAAAUUUUGAAAUGAUUAACCAUUAGAGAAACAAUACUGAAAAGACUCAACCCGAAAUUACCUUUAAUGAAAUGAUCUCAACAAUGGCAAGUUUAGCAAGUUUAGUCAUAUAAGCGGUGUCAACUUCCCCUUCUUCAAGGGCACUAAUUGCAAUUGACAUGACUUUAAAUACACCAACAAUAUUCCUAAACCUCUGCAAAUAAUAGGAAAAAGAAGUUCAAAUAGUAUUUUUUUUUUUUAUUACAUGUGUAAUUUAUGUUACAGUGAGUGAUAAGUUGUAUAGUAACACGAUGCUUGUUAUGAAAUUAGAGUCUCCUUUACCAAUCAAACUCUUCGUCGUCUGAGGAACUGGAAAGUUUUUGCCAAUCAACCACCACAAUGAGGCAGAAAACCCUAAUCAGAGAAAAUUACUACAAAAUAGUAAAACCUUUGGAAUUGUUGAUUGGAGGUCAAAGAGAUUUAAUUACCAGGUUGAAACUUGGGAUAAGGAUAUUGGAGAUGCCUUCUGGCUUAUGACAUCCCCAUUUUCACGGCCAGAAAAGUCUGAUUUGUUUAUGCUUUGUUUUAUAAAUCAGAGUAAUCUUUUAAAAAAAAACAGUUGCAGAAUUUGUUCCCAAAACAAAAUGUGAUAAGAAUUUAUCAAAGCAUUUCUUUAAAGAAAUGUAUUUUCAUUAAAUAACAAAAUCUCGAGAUGUCAUGUUCCGAUACAUACCAAAAGCAUAAACAGUAUAAAAUAGACCUAACGACAGUCAUUUAUAACUACUGAUCUAUAAUACAAAAUCUCUCGUCAAGUCCACCAACUUAUACUCUUAUGCCAUUACCUAUAAUGCAAAGAAAACUGUGUGGGUCAGGCUUGGGAGCCUGGUAAGCAUAUAUGGUUUUCAACCCACAAUAAUAUAAUUAUUAUAUUCAAUCAUCAAACAAUCAACCCAAUUACCAUCCCCAUUAUCUUCUUUAUUUCUUAAGGUUUUACCCUAAGAAUCGACUAUCCUUCCUUCAUUCGUUCCUAAGGAUUGACCUAAGGAAUCGGCACAAAGUCCAUUGCUACCACGAUUUAUACAACAGGCACUACGUCACAUAGUCGCCAGGGUUUAUACAGUAGGCACUACGUCUCAUAGUCACCAGGGUUUAUACAAUAGGCACUACGUCGCAUAGUCACCAGGGUUUACACAAUAGGCACUACGUCUCAUAGUCAUCAGGGUUUACACAAUAGGCACUACGUCUCAUAGUCACCAGGGUUUAUACAAUAGGCACUACGUCUCAUAGUCACCAGGGUUUAUACAAUAGGCACUACGUCGCAUAGUCACCAGGGUUUACACAAUAGGCACUACGUCUCAUAGUCACCAAAUAUUUCAUCUAACCAUGUUCUACCCAACAUAUUUGUAGAUAUAAAAUACAUAUACGGUUUAAAUCAUUAAAAACCUGUAUAAAACAUCCAUUCAACACCCAUCUCAAAUAAACAAACAAUAUAUAACACAUAGCACGUAUUUCAUAGCAAAUACUUCAUAUUUAUGUGUUAGAAGAAAGUAACUACACACUCACUUGAUAAUACGAUUAUCGGACAGCACCUCGUCUCUUAAAACAAUCGCUUCCGAUGAAACUGGUAUGCUUCCUUGAAAACCGGGUUUCUCACGGGCAGAGUUUCGGUUCAGGAACUCUGUUUCUCGGGAUCUUCGGGGCUUCGGGACUUGCUUUGGGUCUCGGGAUGAUACCGGGGCUUCGGGGUAUAAUUUGCACAUAAAAUGAUGAAAUACGGGAGAGAGAGAGAGAGAGAGAGAGAGAAGAAAUGGGCAACCAAAUUCGGCUGCCCAAAUGAUCUAUUUAUAGGGUUGGAGUCUGGCCACGAACACAGUGCAUUCCCCAAACGAACGCAGAGCGUUCCCCGAACGCGGUGCGUUCCCUCAACGAACGCAGGGUGUUCCCACAUGCGUCAUUGCUUACGAACUUUGGACUCGACAGGUGACGAGACUGUCUCUAAUGCUCCGAACGCGGUGCGUUCCCUGAAGGAACGCAUGGCGUUCCCCUUCAGCCAGCCUCGAAGUUUGUGCUUCAAUCUUUUAAAUCCCAUAACUUUCAUGUACGAUCUCCGUUUUCGACGUUCUUUAUAUCCACGCGUAGGUGAGAGUAUUCUCUACAACUUUCAUUUAGACUCCGUUGGCUAAUUUUGAGCUUUUUUAUUAUAUUAUUUUUAACUGGCUGGGACUGGAAAAGUCCGUUAAAAAUCCAUAACUUCUUCAUCCGACGUCCGCUUUUGUCUGUCUUUCUUCCAUUGCACUACUAUCGAUGAGAUUUUCGAUUCUCGUUUAGAUUGUUUCGACUAAAAAUCGCCCGAUCUCAUAAUCGAACUUUGGGCUGCAUACCGCUAAGCUGAAACUUAGAAAAAUCAUAACUUCCUCAUACGAAGUCAGAUUUGGAUGUUCUUUUUAUGCACACUCUCGGUUUAACGUAUUCUACGACUUUCGUUUAGAUCACUAAGGCCAAAUAUCGCUCCAUCGUAAAUUCACUAUGUACGUUGCGCUGUGUCGUGUCGGUUCUGUCGCGAAACUUCGACAGAUCAUAACUUCUUCAUUAUAACUCGGAUUUCGGCGUUAUUUAUAUGUACGGAAUCCUUGUAACAUAUACUAAAACUUAGUUAAGAUUACUCCUUCUAAAUAAUCUUCCAUAAAAAAGUCAUUUUUGAUACUCAUUAUCUCUAAAUUGACUAGCACUAAUCCACGGGCGUUACAGCGCUGGAGCACAAAGCUUGAAGAGAUAUCAAUAGAUUCAGAUUUGACGCGUACACCUUACCAACAUAUUAGAAUGGUAGAUAGAAAGGGAAGUAGUGGAUUGGCUUUUGUCAAACAACAAUCAAAAGGAAGUAUGGAUUACUUUGAUGUAUAUGGCGUUGUUCCGGGAUAUAUUGAUAGGUGAAGGAGAUACGAGAGAGUUGAGUGUUGCCGGACCUAAGGUUGCCGGCAAGGCCAGGCGAAGCGAGGUGAUAUUGUCGAUUGUUGCAGAGGCUAGAGAGAAUCAAGAGAAUUUGAGAAGGUAGAAAAGAACAAGGUAGGUUUUCAAAAUUUUAGGGAUUUCAUUUUCCCCCGUAUCUACUAAAUGCGCGUUCAUUAAAAUUAUAAACCGACACUUAUAGAGGAUGCGCAUUUAAGAUACGCGCAUUUAAGACACUAAUUUAAGGGCACGCAAUAAUGCGUGACCUAAAUCCUUAAAUAUUUUGAAGAGAUGACACUUUUUUAAUGUCAUUUUCUUUUGCGUAACAUAAAUCAAUGAGUGUCAUGGUUUACACGUUGUACAAGGGUCUUUUUCUUGUAGUGUGUGUGUGUGUGUGUGUUACAUCUAAACCUAAAAGAUUUGGUCUAGCUUAUCUAAUUUUUAUAAAGGAAAAAAAUUAUACUAUCAUCAUUUGUGAAAAUAGAAAUUAUUAUUGUAAAUUCCAAGGGGAAAAUACUCCUCAAUAUCAGGGUCUAUUGCGAAAAUAGAGGUCCAUUCACCAUACAUUAGGUUGUAUAUUGUAAUAUCUAUCGUAAAUUUAGUAUAUUAAAUAGAAAAUAGACAUCUGUUCAUUAUACUUAGGUUGCAUGUAAACAAAAUAGAUAAAUAAAUAAAAUCAUUUUUGUUCCAAUAUUCACAUUACCUACCAAAAAUUAUCAAUACUGUUGAAAUGAAUAACAAACAUCAUUUCAAUAAUUUUUCUCUCCUUCGCAAUCUGGUCCAAAAUUGACCAUGUAUGUAACUUAAUUUCAGUGAAAUUAGAUAACAAAUGCAUUUGAUAUGUUUUACAACCCUGUGAUCUAUAAAUCUCUUUAAUAACCUAUGCAAGAGAAAAAAAAACUAUAAGAACUGGGCAUGUAAUUAUGAAAAGAUAUAUAACGCGUCUAAUUGAGAAAAAAAAUAAUAGAAAUGUUGUGAAAUCUGUGCUGCUGCUGCUACUGGAACUCUCUAUCUCAAACACCACUUCAACAUCCUUACAGCCAGUUACUUGAAGGACGUUAAGAAAAGGUUUGGGAUGCAUUGAGGAUUCAACGUCACGAAUAUUACCAUACACCUCUGAAAUGAUAUCUUCCUUGGAUAUAACAUUAAUCUGCAGAUAUCUCAACAAUAAAUAUAAUUCAAAAUUUCCAAUAACUAAAAUUUAAAUUAAUUAUUCAUAAAUGGCACACCUGUUUAAAUCUAUUUACAUAACUAAAGUUGACAGCGAUUAAAUUAACUGAUUUUUAAUAAUUUCCAAUGAUGACUUAUUUGAUACCUACAAUAAAUAUUCAAAAUACUCACACUUACACAAAUACAUAAAAAUAACAUUUUUAGACUAACAUACAAAAUUGGUUAUCUGGUUUUUUGGUUUAUGUACAAAAAAAUCAUUUUGCAAUUUUGAUCCUUAUCACUCACACCGGUAACUUAAGUCUGUUAAAGCCUUAUAAAACGACUAUUUUUCCCUUCUUUCACUUUGUAUUAUUAAUUAUCAUAGAAAUUGUCCAUAGGCCCCACCACCCACAUAUCGCCCCCACUGUCCCCCUCUUUCCCCUUUCACCGUCUUCUUCGCCUAGCUGGCUAGCUCCCCUAUCUGUUGCUGCUAUAAGAGGUCCUGACCCAACCCCUUUUCCUUGGUCGACUUCUCUACCAGAGACAAUCAGGAGUCCAGUCUUCCUCCAUUGCAAUCAUUUUAGUCCGCUACCAUAGACAAUCUCAGGUGCAUUUUUCAUCAUCAUCAAGCAUGGAAAACGCAAGGCAUAGCAUAAAUUCAACGACCAUAUCUUAUCAUCUUCAACACAUUAUUCAGUGAGUUGAAAUCCAAAAUCAUCAUUUAAAAUGCAAGUAUCAUAAAACAUACACCCAAUAAAAUAGAAAAAAGGCAAUGCUUACAACAUAUUGUCACAAUCCAAAACCAGACAACAUGUUUCCAAAAGAAAUUAUACUUUUUGGGUAUUAGAUGAGUGAACUCUUAAAAUUAAGUGAAAAAGUUGCAAGACAAGUGGGGGAUGAUCCGAUGAUGCAAGAACAUCCAAUUUCAGGUGAGAUUUACAAACAAUUGAAGUGAGAUAUUCUUUAAGGCUUCAUAUAUCACCUAAUCUAGGAGACACAGAGGGGGGCCGAGAUGGUCACUUGGAGGGAGGACCAAGAUAACGGGGACAAGAUUUUUAUAUUUACUCUUUUUUUUUUUUUACCAUAAAUCAGUAAUUUUGAGUGAUCACCUAAUUGAUCACUACAAUAAAUAUGUCAAAAUCUUCACAUUUAAUGGAAAAAUAUAAAAAAUUUAAUUUUCAAUCGCUUUUAAUAAUGCGGUGUAAAUAUGUAAUAUCCUAAGUUACAAUUGUUAGAAAAUAUUAAACAAAUGCUUAAGUAGAGUGAAAUAACAAAAAUAAGAAAAUAAGAGAUCCAUACUUAGCAAUAUAGGAAAUCUAGCCUACUUCUCCACACUUAAAAACGUAGUAUAUAGGUAAUUUGUCCAUGUUUUUAAAUGUGGAGUAUUAAAUUGUUUAUCCACAUUUUGAAGUGUAAAGGUUUAGAAAUAAUUUGUUAUGGCACACUUUUAAGUGUGAAUACAUACAAAAAUUGUAUACAAUUGAUUGAUUUAUUGUAGUGUGAUAUGUACAUAUGUACACACACCCACACAUAUGUAGAUACUUAUAUGUGAGGGUAUAUAUAGAGGCACAUACAAAUAAGUGCUGUAACAUCAAAAUAGAAACUGAAAGCUCAAUGACAUCACAUACCUCCUUUCUUUUUAGAACCAAUUCAAUGUAUCUCUUGCUUGCUUCCAAAGGUCUCCUACCAUCUAUACUCACAUUCAUAAGUUUUCUCACAUCAGAAUUGGCCAUGGUCGGUGUGAAUACAUUUACAAACCUCUCACACCUUCGUAUAUUUAUCCAUUCAACUGCUUGAAAGCUGCGGAUGAGGAUAUCAGAGCUACUUUCACCUUUCAUCCUCCACAACUCUCUUAGCUUCCCCAAACCAUAUCCGUCAAUUUGUCUCAAGUUGCUGCUGUGUUCUUCAAUUUCACCAACACAACUCAUGUCAAUGUCAAAUAAGUAAUAACACUUCAAGUCUGAUGUUACCAGAGGAUGAUCUAAAGUAAUAUCACUUCAUCCUAACUUUUCAUCUUUUUGUUUGACUUCACAUCGUGAUGCACCUACAAUGUAAUGUUAUUUUAAAACUAACUGGUAAUGUAGCGUUAAGUAUAAAACAGCGUAUAUUGAAGCUAAGUUUAGCCUAAAACAGGGUAUUUAAAUAUAGUAAAGAAAAGUAUCUUUAUGUUAUUUACAGGGUAAAGUUGUGAGUGAAGGAAGAAAUAUAAUUGAUCACCAAGGUGACCCAGUUUGUGUUUUUCUUUUGAAAACAAGUAAUUUUGCUGUAAGUAAGUACACAUGGAAAAAAAGGUUACAUAUUGAAAUUUCUCCGGCCAAAUCCACCACCAGAAACAACCGCCAGUCACCACAAGAUACAAGUUCCAGGGAGUACUCAGUGACAUGUGGUGGUAGCUGGGCUGUUUGAAAUCAGAAGAUGUCUGAAAAACAAAAUCAUGAAAAAAAAAGGUUACACAGGGAAAUAUGAUUACAGCCAGCAGGUGAAACUAUUAUUUCUUUUUGUGUCAAAUGAGUUAUUUGCUAACUUCAUAAAUUGACAAGAAUAAUAAUUAUCUCUAUGAAAUUAACAGUAUGUUUAUAUAUCCAAAGAUUACUGAGAAAAGAACCAUUUCACAUGACCAAUAAUCAAACAGAAAAAUGCCUAAAAUUUUAAUUUUAAAUGCAUUAAAUCUUACCUAUUAUGCUAUAUAUAUAGCUGACUUCAAAAUGAGCCAAACUGCACAUGUGAAUUCAAAUGUUUCUCUAGAACUGCCAUCCCUGUAGGAGAUUACAACAAAGUGGUAAAUUAGAGAGUAAUGUAAAGUUUUUGUUGGAGAAAACAUUAAUCUGUUAAUAAUAACCAAAUGAGACACCACAUACCUCUUUCUGUUUGGUCUGUAUAAAAGAGUUUGGGUCUUCCAUUGCAUGACACAAUCCAAAAGUUGUAUCUAUUAACUUCAGCUCCGGAGUAGUUGAUUGCCCAUUUGUGAAAACUGUUAUUUGUGGACAAUCUUUGAUUUCCAAGGUAUCUAAUAAUGGCCAUUCAAAAGCCACCUUGCCCAGGCAAAAUCCCUUGAGAUUUGGAAGCUUUUCAAGUGUUAUGGAUUUUAGACAAGGGAACACAACCUCAGUAGUAUUCGGUCUGGUUUCGGAAUCUUCAACUUGCUUCACAAUCACAUCCAUACUCUCGCAGUCACUUAUUUUUAACUCUUGGAGCUGCAAUAGACUACCAACCAUGCAACUACUGAAAACGUGUCCAAGAAGCCGACAUUUAUUAAUUGAGACCUUUGUAAGGUUUGGAAAGUUCAACACUAUCCACCGAUUGCUCUUCCACAUAUGCUUCAGAUUAUUUAAUCUACCCAAAGUCACCUCUUUCAGCUUCUCAAAUACCACAACAGAUUGCAUUCCAAUAUCCACAUCUUCAUUUGUCCCUUCUGCUACUUCAAAUACUUCCUCUAUUUUAGAUUCACCAUACUUCAUGGUAAUAGAAAGCUUUUCAAGAUUCUUCAAAUUAAGCAACUCGUUGCAUGGAAAAAUUAUGCGGCUUUUCAACAAUUUGUCACUCUUUUGUGCAUCUACUUCAAGUAAAUUUGAAAAAGACCAAGGGAACUGAACUAGCUUUAUCAUAUCUGGAGUAGAGCACAUAGAGAGUUGAGUCUGCUAAGAAAAAACAAACAUAAAUCAUCAUAAACAUGACAAUUAUUAAUGAAAAAUACAUUUAGUAUACAAAUAUAUUGAAGGCUUGCAAGUUCUGUUAUUCUUCAUUGAGCCAACAUGUAUUUCCAAUCAACAACCUAGUUUAUGACACUGCUUACAUUAUUUUCUGUGAAGCUGAGCACUGUGAAGAAAAAUUCUGAUUUAUAUAUUGCAUUUGUUCAAACAAUUUAGAUUUUCUCGAUGAUUGUCGAUUUGUUUAAACAAAUUAGAUUUUAUCGAUGAUUGUCGAGUCUUUUUAAAUAAAAGUAAAAAAAUUUCAAUUUGUGCNUAGUUUGUGGGUGAGUGGGUAGGGAGGAUAAAAUAAAAAGUAAAAGUUAAGUGUUUUGGCUACUUCAAAUAUGUAGUUUUUCAUGUACUGAAUAUUGUUACAUCCAGCUUUUUUAGGAAAAAAGAUAACUAUGUUAUUGUAUUUUUAUUGCAUUGUCAAAUACAACAAAUGAUAUCUUCCUAUCUAAUAAAAGAAUCCAUUUCUGCCACGUGUCAAUUUUUAACCCCAAGAGUUUUCAAAGUGAACUGCCAAAAUUGCCCUUCACCUUUAAAAUCCACAACUGUAACAUAUCCCCAAAUUUCUUUUGAUCGGUUUAUUCCCAAAAUCACGUUUCCUAUUCCCCUGAUUUCUCUUCUCUAUUUUGGAAACUAGAUAUUGAUUUGAAUUUUAAAACUCACAGAUCGAUUCUAUAAAUACGAGGAACGAAAUCGAUACCAUAAAUGAUCGUGAAUCUGAGUUUUAUAGGAUUGCAAUUUCAUAUCUUCGACCAAAUUGUUGCCGGUGCUUUCAAGAAUCUAUGGAGGUAAAAACAUGUUUAUAUUUUUAUAUUUUUAUGUUUUUAGUUCUCUCGAUCUGUCAUGUUUGUUUCUUUGAUUGCCCAUUUUUUGAAUUGCUAAUGUUGUUUGUUGAUUGAAUUAAAGGUUUUUGUUUGUUCGAAUGAUUUGAAUUGCUAAUGCUUUCUUUCUUUCCGGUUGUCAUUUUUCACCAAUUCUCCUAAUAAAAUAGGAAAUAGAUUUGAAUUCCAUGGAAAAAUCAGAAAUCCUAAUCAUAUCUAAAUUUAAAUUCGAUGGGUAGGUUUUUGAUUUAUAUAUACCUCUAGCUCUCACUUUCGGUCGCAUCUACUUUAAGUUACAAUCGCGAUUCUCCAAAGUGCCGAUUAGAAAUUGAACUUGCACAAGUGUUAAAGGCGUCAAUUUGGAAUUGGAAGUUUAUAAUUUAUUUUGUUUAAAUUAACAUCCAUUUUCACACAUUUUGUUGGAAGUAAUUAGCUAAGUGCUUGGUUUUUUUAUCAUAAGAAAUAUAUGUCAUUGAUGAUUACACUAUAAUUAGUUUUUUUUUUUUUUUUUUUUUUUUUUUUUUUUUUUUGCCAUUCAUUGUAAUUUCUAGGUGUAAGGUAAUGAUAGGUGGAAGUUAAUUGAAGAAGACGGCUAUAAAGUCGUUUUUUAUUUCAUUCUAGAUGAACAAGAAUAUGCACUACAAAAACAAAAUUUAUUAACGGUAUAUUCAUGACAACCAUAGCUUAACAUUUGUUUUUAUUGUUUCUUUUGUAUUCAAAAUAUACCUCUAAUUUUUUUUUUAAAAAAGUAUCCCUAAUCUUUUUUUUUUGUUAUUGAGUUUGUAUUCAGAAUGAUAUAUCAUCACGUGAAGAGGAAAAGGGAACUAAGUGGGCAAUGACAGAGGUGAAUGAAGUAUCUGUAACAGAUCUAUCUUUUGAGGGAAAUAACAAUGCAUUAUUGACCAUCCACACCAGUCAAAUUGUCAUUUUUAUGUUCAUUUAAAUAGGUUCUUAUUUUGUUGAGAAAAAAAUUGUUUUAGUGUCAACUUUAUUUCAUUAUGUUAACCCAUAUAGCUAUUAUUUAUUUUACAUGUUUAAUGCUUCCGCACAGUCACUCUCUUGCUUACGGUCAUAAUUUGAGGACUAAAUUUGUUAGAAGUGAAGCAAAUAAUCUGAUCGACUCAAGGAUCAAAAGUAACAUUUAUUUAGAAAAAUAACAUAUGAACCGUUAAAAUCAAUGACUCAAGGACCAAAAAUACUGUUAAAACCAUGAAACAAGCAUCAAAUCUUAAAUAAAAUUCUCUUUUGAAACUUAAGAAAGUACAAACUACGGGUGUGUUUGGGAUUGCUUUUUGAACAUAAAAGUUCUUUUUGUAAAAGAACUUUAUCUAAAAGAUGGUGUUUAAAAUGUGUUUGGCUUAUCUUUUAUAACUUUUAAGUGAUAAAAGCUAAAAGUCACAAAAACAUAGGAAUUCCUAUAUUUUCUUCAGCCAACUUUUCCUUCUUGACUAAACGUUUGGUUUUAAAAGAUCUUUUUAAUUUGCUAAACAACUUUUAGUAAUUUUUUAGUAAUUUUUAACUUUUUGAAAAAGUUAAAAGUCCAAGAUGAUUAAAAAGAAAUGCCAAACACCUUUUACAUGACCAACUUUAAUGUUUACUCUACAUAAAUUUUAAAUAAAGACCAAAUUAUACGCUACUGUAAUUUGUUAAUUUUAAGUUUAAUAAACGUUCUAUUUCUUGAAUCUAAAAUUUUCAUUUAUUUUAUUUAAAAAAGUAUUCUUUUAGCUUUUGUAUUGUUAAAUUUAUUUUAUAAUUAAUGGUGAUAAAAACAUUUUUUAUAUGAUUUACUAAGAUCAUGUCCUUUUAAGUAUAUUGCUUGAUAUAACCAAUAAAAGAGUAUUAACAGAUAUGAAAUUUUAGUUACUACAAAACACAUUUAGUUAACAAACACGAAAGUCAGAUCUACGAAAAGUUAACCCUCAAACCCAAUUUGUUUAAAUGUCAUCNNNNNNNNNNNNNNNNNNNNNNNNNNNUAUAUAUAUAUAUAUAUAUAUAUAUAUUAAUUUUAAAUAACCAAUACAAAAAAUUUUAAAAAAAAUCUUAAAUCUUAUUAAUAAUUUAAAUGGUUUGUAAAUAUUUUACCUGUGGUUUUCACAUGUUGUAACCUAGUAUGGAUGAUAUACUUAUACUUUUACAAUCAUCUCAGCAAUACUAUUUUUGUCAAAUUUAGGUAAUAAACGCUACAUAAAUGUUUAGCUUGUAGAAGAUGAGAGAGAAAAGAACAACUUGAUUAAGUAAUUACUUACUACUAACAUCACGAUAUUAUAAAAUAUGUUAGAUAAUUGGAUUAAACUGGAUGAAAACAAUAUAAAUGAUUUAGUUACAAAAUAUAGUUCCAUACAAAAAUGUAUUUGUUAAUAGAUAUGAGUGAAAAUAUGUAAAAUAAGCUAAUGCUUUUCUUUCCAUCUAUUUUGUGUUUUUUUUUUCUUAACCGGAUGAAGAUGCAUGUUGGUUCUAAGUUCCAAAUUAAUGAUUUAUGAACUUUCAAAUGAUUUGAAUAAGAAUGAACUUGCCAAGUACCAUUUGUAAUACACAAGAAAAUAAUUUUUUAUAUUCAUAUAUUUGAUAUAAAUUCUUAAAUCUUCUGUUUAUAAGGAACGCUACUAUUAUGUGAAUUUUAAAAGCCCUAUUUCUUAGGUGCUUGUUUUGUUAUUCCUUUCGCUGAAUACUUUCCCAGACUCCGAGCCACUAGUUAGAUUGCUUGCUUUUUUACAAACCGAUCAAAUUUUUUGUCAAAUUAAAAUAUGUUUUAGCAAAAACUGCAAAUUUGGUCCAUGUGUUUGUCGGUUUUUGUGGUUACGGUCCCUGUGGUUCCAAAAUUACAAAGUUGGUCCUUCUCACCAGGUUUGUAUCAAAUUUGAAAAGACUGAUUUAUUGUUUUAAUUUCUUUUUUUUAGAUUUUCUUUAAUAUUAAAUAAACAUUAAAAAAUGAAAAAUAAAUAAAUAAAUAAAUAAACCCCUAACCCCCACCCAACUCCUCCUUUCUUUACCUUCUUUCUCUGUGAUGCUCUUGGGGUUGCAAGCCGGUGAAAAUAGGGACAAUGUAAAGAAGAAGGGAUUGUUGAUUUAAUUCUGAUCAAAACUAGUAUUGUAUAUGUUCAGAAAUGUUGGACAUGAAAAAACCACCCACAGUGAAUGCGUCAAUUGGGCUUUUGUCUUUAGUUCAUCUAACUUGAUUUCAAUAUUAAAUUGCUAACUUAUGAAUUAGUGAAUAUAACAUCUUUUGUAACAUAAGAGGCAAUUUAAUAUCUUAGGAAUGAAAUAUUAAUCUAUAAUAAAAAAUAAAAUUGCAUAUUUUCAUAACUUUUUAUGGAUAUAAAAAAAUGGGAAGUGGUUAUAUAUGUAUCUUCAUUUGGUUUUGUUUUAUGUUUCCUUCCGGAAUACACAUAUGAACAGCCUAAAUUUGUACGCAAAUAAUAUGUUAGAUCAUCAUAAAACAACAUUUUGACCUGUUUAAAUGAUGAAGUAAAGUAACAACAUACCUCUUGUGUAACAUUGGUCAAAUGGAAGUUGGAGCCACAUUGAUCAAGAGUAUGCUUGCCUAAGCCUGUAUGUAUGUAGUUGAGCUUCGAAGCCUUCGAGUGACCAAAUGUGAAAAUCAUCAUUUUUGGGCAGCCAUCCAUCUUAACCUUUUCCAAUACUGGCCACCUGAACUCAUUCUUCCCCAAAAAGAAACCCUUGAGUUCUGGUAAAUCUGCCAGAGUAAGGGACUUGAGACCAGGGAACACUAUUAUAGAUUUAGACGUUUCUGUGUGUUCUGCAUCUUCCUUCACAAUCACUUUCAUUGCCUUGCAUUGUUUUACAGUCAGUUUUUGAGGCUUUCAAGUGUGGAACUUGUGAAUAUAUAUUCCAAACCUUCACAUCUUUCUAUUUUCAAUAUCGUUAGGUUGGGCAAUUGAAGCAGAGUCAUAUUUGCCGACCUUGGGAUGGUGAUUGCAGUACAUGUAUCGUCACUUCCAUCACCAACAUUACUACUAUCAACACCAUUGUUGUUGGCCCAUUCAGUUUCAAAUAGCUCUACUAUUGACUUACAAUUCCAUAUUCUCAACUCUUCAAGCUUAAGCAGCCGUCCUACUACAUUGGAUGGAAACACUCUUGAUAGGGCAGGACAAGUUGAUAUAGUAAUCUUUUUGGAGUAUUGGCAUAAGAACCACGAAGCAACACCGACUUGAGAACACUACAACAACACAUGAAAAAUCAAUGGAGCUGAUUGAAUUAACAAAGCUUAGCUGUUUGCUACACACAUACACACUACAAUUUAACAUAUCAUUUGUUUCUAAAAGUGUGGUUACAAACAGGAGUGCUUCCCACAACUAAGGUAAUUAAGUAA